RNAcentral lists this long non-coding RNA (82901 nucleotides) under Hordeum vulgare. RNAcentral's name for it is "long non-coding RNA (HVUL_LNC012049)". The record is from RNAcentral. Lineage: Eukaryota; Viridiplantae; Streptophyta; Magnoliopsida; Poales; Poaceae.
AGAUCAAUGCUCACCGAACACACAUAUACUGAAUAUUAAGAGUAUUACAUCCAACGUACCGUUUGAUACAACAAAUGAGCAUCAUCGUCAAGUCUCAUAUAGAAAGGGCCUAUAAGGCCAAUUACACCGAUACAUCUACUAGCGGAAAUAUUGGUAAUAAACGGGAGCCCAUGCCAUCAGCCUUCACCAACAUGCAUUCUGACUGGGAAGCAUCCUAGUUCACGUGUCCGUCUCCGAUGACGAAUUCUUCUCCAAACUCCGGUUCCUCCAUGUCUGGUCAAUAAAAUAACCAGUGGCAAGCCAGUGAGUACUUUGAAUGUACUCGCAAACAGCCCAUGAUAUGGAUAAUGUAGUUGGUGUGGUAAUAAAGUAAUAUGCAGACUUUGCGGAAAGCAAAUUUUUCGUAAGGAUGUACAUUGUCAAUUACUUGUAUGGAUAUGCAUCAUAAGCUAGAUGGUAUUCAUAAGUUGUACCCACAUGAUCCGAAAAACAUCCUUAUCACCCACGACUCGUGGUAUAUAUCAUACCCGAGGGAAGUACCCGAUCAUUGCCUUUCCCCUAACGAUUCUAGACAAAGAGUUCACUCGAUUGGUACCCAACCCACAUGAUGUACGUCUUACGAGCACCAACUCUAGACCGUAUCAUCCAUGCGGGGACCAAGGGUGUGCCGUGAACACAUAAAAACGGCAUAGUCGAACUACCUGGUACGACCCCGUCAUGAGAGUGACCACAUAUCACUCCCACCACUAGUAAUGUUGCUCAUUGCUAGCACCGACCAAAGUAAUCAAUAAAGCCCCGUCCCAUAAAGGGGUAUCGUGGUCGUACAUGUAAGGUUGGGACGGUCGACACAUCAUAAAUCUAAUCCCAUUUACGAAACCACUCACACAAAAUAUUUCUUGAUGCACCACUUCUUCACAAGUGGCCACCUAACUCAUCAUCACCCUCAGGCAUUAGUGGCACCCGACGUGGUUUUCGUAAAACCUUUGUUAUCAACUUUGUGUUACCAUCAUCAUGCACAUGCUCUUUCUAUGCAUAGCACUACUAUCUACUUGUCAAUAUGUUAUCAGUGUGACCCUCAUAAAUGAUAGGGUCAUGCUUAAUGCAAGUGGUCCAGAGGAGCUAUCGGAAACACCAUGCCGGGGUGCACCGAUCGUCCUUAACUAUAUGCAUCGGAGUACAAUUACCAAUGUGUCAUGCAUAGAAGUAUUUCUUAGACAUGGUCAAAGAGCCUCUUGCCUUGAUCAACUAUGUUCCGGGGUCUUCGGGGUCUUCGGGUUCAAGUACUUCGUCGAACGCGAAAUCUAUCGUCGCAAUAAUACUAAUAAAAUAAGAACCUCAUUCAAAAACACAGCACAAACUCACUUUAAAAAUGUUAUCCUAUUAUGAUCAAUCUUUAUUAUAGUUUGAAAAACAUUUGUUUCUUGUUUUGAUGCAAAAAGGUAUUUUUAAAACCUAAUUAACAGGGCCUAAAAUAUUUAAACUAGGCAUUUUAAUCAAAGUUAUGUAUAAAAGUUUUGACAAAAAUUGGUAAAAUAGAACUACUAAAUUUUACAUAUUUUUAGAAGAAUUGUGGUGGAAAAAUAUUUAGAUUUGACUAAAUAUUUAAUUUUACAAAAAUCAUUUAGAAUCAACAUAAAAAGAAACGGGGAAACGGGCUUAACCCUGGCCUGGCUCGGCAAGUGGCUGGGCCGGCCCAACUGGCCAACCGACAAACUAGCGAGCCAGCAGCCCAGGUGCGCGUGCACCCUCAUGUUUAAACCUGACGCAUGGGCCCCUGCAGUCAGUGGGAGAGAGAGGAGAGAGGGGGAGAGGCUGGCCACCACAGGUGGGGCAUGCCUGUCGGGGUCGUCUUCCUACUCUAGACAGAAGGGAGUGGGGGCACGCCGGCGGCGAUUCCGACGACCUCGUGGCCACAUGACGGCAGGAACGGCACCGAGGCAUCGCCGCCUACAUGCUGGUGGUCGAAUGAACAACGGGGAAGCCCUAUGUCACCGGCGAUGAGGUGGCCGCGCGAAGGUGCUUCGGGUGGUGGUGGAGUUUGGUGCUACGGACAGGGAAAUGCUCGGGGCAGAGGUGGGGAGGCUUGUUGAGCUCUCUACGCUCACGAAGGAGGUGAGAUGAGCACGAGAGCUGGCCUUUAGCCCGAGAUCAACGGAGCUCCGAAGCGGCGGGGCCUCGGUCGAUCUCGAGCACCAGAGCUCUCUCUGCUCGAAUGGGGUGGCUAGGACCUCCAUUGAGCAUCUCGAGGAGUGGCGUGGGGUGCUGGAGUGAAGGGGGAAGGCCUAUUUAUAGGCCAGCAACAGUACACCACGCGUGGGAGCAUCGGUGCUUUCACCGUGGCUGCAGGAGAGGGAGAGAGGGCUCGGGGUCGAUACCACGGUUUCGCGGACGUGGUUUGAGACCCCACAGACCAAACGAGAGAGAGGAGGCUCAGUGCACGCGUGCUGCGGGGCCGCACUCUUUUGGCGGAACCUGGCGCACGAGGGCACGUGUCACCCUGGUCAGCACAGAUGGGGAGAAGGGGCCCUAGGGCUGCCCUGAGUCAAGAGGUUUGUCGGAGACGCGAAGAGACCCCGAGGGGAGGUGAGAACCGGUCGGGGCUGGCCUCCUUUGCCUCGGGUGUGCCUUGUAGCGUGCCCAGAGCACAGAUUUGGCAUGCCACGGCAUGCUGGCGUGCUCUGGGGUGCUUUGGCCCUGUCUGACGUGUCCGGGGGUUGGCUUAGAUGCCCUUUAGCCGUUUGGGAGCCGAGGGUCUCACUGCUGGUCAAAGGAAGUGCUUGAAGAGGAGCUGUCAGGCUUGAUUCAGAAACUAAAUUGGGGAUUUUGACUCACCUGCUCGGAACCAUAGAGGGGCCACUCGUCUGCAGUUGAGGAGUGGUGCUGGCAGCUUGCACUAAGAGUUUAGUGGAAAGGGAGUGGGUGUAGAGGGUGUUAAGUGUUGUUUGACCAUCCAGGCAGAAGGUGAUUGAUAUGUGUUUGGGGUAGUUAACCUCCACCACUCAUGUUGAAAGUUAACAUGAUUGGGUUUAAUACAAAGUAGGAUGCUCCACCAAAUUUGAGCGCCAUUGGACAAGGUUGACAAUGCAAACUUGAAAUCCCCCAAAUGGGCAGUUCUGUCCUUUAAAAGAGAAUGUGGCUAAAUUAAUACCACAAAUCUAUUUUUUGGCAGGGUCUCUUCAUUUGGGGUGUUGAUCACUCGUGCAAAGCUUUAGGCCAUUUGGACAAACUUUUCUAUGUAGAGUUGCUUCAACUUAAUUCUGGAAACGGAAGGUCAUAGGAAUAUUUGGUGAACCAAAGAACCUUGGAAUAAGGUGAAACUUGGCAUGACCACCAAAUAUAACUUGGGAAGCAUGCUAGAAUUUUCUAGGAAUUUAUUGAAACUGUUUCCUUUGGAAAUAUUUCAAAAGGUCAAAACAGACAGAAUAGGUUUUCAAGGAUUUGCUCAAAUAUUUUGAACAUAAAUAGGGGUUGAAAAUCUUAUUAUGGAAAAUAUAUGUCCUGUGCAUAUCUUCAAUUUUCUCAAGUUUUUCUAAGGCAGAAAAAUAAUUUUCCAUUCAGAAAUAUCAUUUCUCACCUCAGAAAAGGACAUGCAAAUAAAAUAGAAAAUUAUUUUAUAAAAUAAAUAUUUUAUGACUUUGGAAAGUUAUAAUAGUGCCAAAAUCAUAAUACAAUCUUUGGGUGGAGGCACUCCCUUGGAAUCAGGGACUUGAAGUGCAAACCCAUAGCAAGGUUUUGAAAUGGUCAAAAAUGAGAAAAAGGAUCUUUUUGGAAAUCUCACGUUAUAAAAAUAUUAUUUUUGGAUCCACUCACUCAAGCAUACACACAAACAAUGGCAAUCAUGGCACACAAACAAUGGCAAUCAUGGCACUCAUAGCACUUGCUUAAAAAGUUAUAAUAAAUUCAGGUUUUUGAAAAGACUACAAUUGAAGUAAGGUAAAAACGUGUGUGACAAUACUGAAGAGAUGAGUAUAUGGAAAUCGCUUCCACUCUCCACAAGCUACAUCAAGUUCACAUAAAUACAACAAUAUACAAUCAUCAUGAAAAAGAGCAGGGUUCGACUAUGGACGAAAAUAAAUGAUAAAAGAACGACGUCCAUCCUUGCUAUCCUAGGUUGCCGGCGUGGAACCCAUCCUAGAUCGAUGAUGAUGAAGAAGAAGAAACUCCAAAAGCACAAUCAUCGCGCUCACAACAUAAUAUCACAUUACUUGUACUUGCAAUUGGUGUUGUAGUAAUUUGGGAGCCACAGGAACUCAGCAAUUUCAUUUCCAAAGGUAUCGAGACUAACAAAGCUUAAUUGGUGAGGCUGCAGCUAGCGACCAAGCAUUUAUUUGAGGUGGCUAACUUACGAGUACAAAAAUAAGAGGGGGUGAUCUACGCAUAUCGGAAGUGAACUAAUAAUGAUCAAGUGAAUGAUCGUGAACCCUACUUACGUCAGACAUAACCUCACCAUGUACUCGAUCGGAGAAGGAGCUCAAGAAAGAGACAGUCACAGUUACACACUUAGUUGGCAAGUUUUUAAUUAAGUUUACUUCAAGCUAUCUAGAACUGGAUGUUAAACAAAGUUUCCAAGUUUGCCACAUAACCGCGGGCAUGACUUUCCGAAAGAUUUAACCCUGCAAGGGUCCUCCAACUAGUCCAUCACAAACUACCACACGUUACGUCGGAAUGACCUCAAUCAGGGAAAACCUGUGAACUCCUCGGGUUCCUAUUGAAAAACCUCAACCUCAAGAAGUAUCCUCGGAAUCCCAUGCACGAGACGCUCGAGAAAGGUAAAACAGGUCCAGCAAGGCCGACCGCCGUGUCGACGAUCCCGAUAAGAGCUGUGUAUCUCGUUUUCACGACACGACGGAUAAGCACAAUGUACGGUGGCCUGAUAGAAAUCUCCCGAGUUGCCCCGGGUUGACCCUGCAAACGACUCUAGUUUGAACUAACACCAGCAGUACUGGCCCCCGUGUAUUAUGUUGAAUUAUUUCUCGGGUUCAUGACGCCCUAUGCUUUUCAACGGUGUUCAAUUUUAUCAUGUUGGGAAAAUAUAGUAUUAAUGUUGGGCCGUGUCAGGCGAGUUUUAUCCCAAAUUGAAAAUCUAGGGGUCCCCAUAACAACCCCAAGCAUGUUAGGAGCGCUCAUUUAUGGAACAUGACACCGGUAGACGAAACUAAGGGGGCAAAGGUGGAACAAAACACCAAGCUAGAAGGCCAAGGCUUCCACCUUUUACCAAUUAUAUAGGUGCAUUAAAUUAAAUAGCAAUUAUAUGGUGAUAUAACAAGGAACCAUGUCGGCACAUGGAUGCAACUGCACCUUCAACUAGCAACGCUAACAAAAGGUUGAGCAAGCGGUAACAUAGCCAAACAGUGGUUUGCUGGGACGUGGAAAAGGUUUUCAUGGCAAUGUUGGGAGGCAUAUUAAACAGGUGGUAGGCAGCGAGACAUAGCGAAAACGAGACAACUAGCAUGGCAAUGGUAGUAAUGGUAUCUAGAAAAAUGGUCAUCUUGCCUGUGACCUCUUGUAAGAAGAUUGAAUCCAUGAAGCAGACGAACCAACAUAGUCGAACGAAUCCUCACACUCCAAAGCGGUUCGGAACUCUAUCAAGAAGAAACAAACCGGAAACAAGAAUCAACACACGAUAUUCACCACGGCAAAUGCACGCUAUGAUGCACAACCUAAUAUGAUGCAUGUCCAAUUCAACUAUGCAAGGCAUGGCAUGGCAAUUCACAACAAUCAAACACUACACAUUAAGUGAAACUCCGCAUUCGAAUUAUUUAGUUCGCUCCCGUUUAGGUACACGACAAUUUUUUAAAUGUUGUUAGCAUGGCAAGAGAUGAAGGAUGUGAUUCUACAUGUAAUUCUAGUCGGUUUACACAUAGCUCACGUAAAACAGAGCUACCAUUAACUAUCUAUAGGCAGCUAUAGGCAUUGUAAAACAGUGACAAAAUCUGCUAUAAUGCAUGUCUUGAAAUAAAUAAAAGAUCAAAAGAGGGGAAAACAUAUAUGCAUGGGCCCAAUUGCAACUAAGUGAAGCCACCCAGAAUUGAAUCAGGCCCAAGUGGCUCAGUGUACGUCCGUGGAAACAAUAAAAGAGAGGCUUACGUGAUUUGAUCCCUGGACCUGGUGGAUGCCGAACUGCUGUCCUAGCCAACAGAGCUAGUAUCUGAUUAUGAUAUGAGAUGGAACUAUCCUAUUUGAAGUAGCGCUACAGAGCAACAAAAUAAUUCGAAUGCGGAGCAGGGUGCAGAUCAACAAAAACAGAGCAAAACAUAUUACUGGCUGACCUGGGAUUCGAACCCCAGAUCUCGGGGAUGAAACUGAGUGGUGCUAGGCAUCUCUGCUGCACUUGCUUGAGUGAAUUUCACACAGGUUAUUACUUAUAGAACUGAAGAAACGGCGGUUGGAGCNAGGUUUGCCUACGGGGAAUAGGAGGAUACAGUUGAUCCAGGCACGGGCAACCCAUUCCCAGUGACGAGAGGUCUUGGGGAAGCGCGGAUGGGCGACCUCCAUGGACGGCGGAGGCGGGUUCCGAUGUGUUCCUGUCAGGGAAGAAACAAGCAAGAGGGAGAGGAAUUAGAGGAGAGAGGAUAGGGAAGGUGGGGCAUAGGAAGGAUCCUAGCGCAGAGGAGCGACCUGUUCGCUCCAGCGACUCAUCGGCGUCGGGGUUAAGGCGAGGUGCUCCGGCGGCGGUAGCUUCGCCAGGGAGGCUUGUCAACGAGGCGGUCUGGUCCAAUGGAACGGCCGGCACGACAGGUGGGGCAGGCACGAGCGAGCACCAUGGCUUCCAGCUCCCUUGACGCGAGCGAGGCGUGAGCCUUGCAUCCCACCGAGCAAAGAAGCAGGGUGUCGCGGGAGCAGGUGGUUGCACGGGGCUAGAGACGGCUCUCCGGACGAGGUACUCGGUGCCAUGCGCCGCGACUGUGUGAUCGGCCGCGGAUAUGGUUGGCUGGAUGUGUCCGUGGCUGUGGGUUGGCUUGCGCUGGUUGGUCGAGAGGAGAUCCCGAGGGAGAGGGUGGCAGCGGCGCUGCAGGAAUUGAGGGAGUUAGUCUAGGGUUAGGUCUAGGUUUGUUCAAAAUGGAUUAAGGUAGACUAUAUAUAGCAAGUGAGUUUGUUUUAGGGACAUCUAGACCCUCCGAUUAAAUCAGAUGGUUGAGAACAACUAGGUUAGGGAGUCUAGUUGACAAACCGAUGAUGGUUUGGGGUAUAACCAGGUUGAUCCGGACCCAAAGGUCACGACCAUAUGUUUCGAGUUUAGGGAAGUUUUUGAACAAGGUUGGGUGCACGUCGGUGCACUAUGUAGAGGGGCUAGGCACAGACGAGAGAUGAAAAGGGAAGCCCGGCAUUAGGUUUUUAAUGACCGAAAACGUCCAACGUUUGACCGGCUAUAGUGCGCUAUAUAUUUAAUAGUUUGGGUAUUGGACAGACUCCGAUUGUGACGAGAUUUGACAGACGACCUACCUACAUUAAAAUAAGAUCGCACGCCAAGUUUCAACCCAAUCCAAAAAAUAUACACACUUCUAAAAGGGGGGGGGGGGGUGCCACGGGAGCGUGCGAGUGUGGUUGGUCUCAAAAUGGUGAACGACAAAAACAGAGAGAACCAGCAACUAAUAACUAAUAACGGAUGCAAGUUUUGAAAAAUGACAGCAAUGGAGUGCGGGUGCAAUACGGAUGAUGCGAAUGAUGCGAUGAUGAAUGCGAGAACCAAAUAAUUAACACGGCGAUGUUGUAAUAAAAGGGGAAUCUUCUGCAGCGUCGGUCUCGAUGUAAUAGCCCGAGACCAAUCCGCCCGAAGAUUCCCCUUCUAUUUCGUUGUCGCCAUGUGUCUUAUUUUGUUGUCACAUUCAUCAUCGCAUCAUCCGCAUUUCAUCGGCAUUCCAUUGCCACCAGUUUUCAAAACAUACAUCCAUUGUACUUGUCGGUUCUCUCCGUUUUAUCGCUGAUCGUUUCGAGACCAACCACACAGGCACGCGCCUGCGGCGUCAUUCAAAUAUUGCCUUUAAACAUGUAUAUAAAAUAUUCUCGGAUUGGGUACAAACUUGGGGUGCAGUCUAAUUUUAAUGUAGGUACACCGCAUGCCAAAUUUCAUCACAAUCGGAGUUCGUUUGAUGCUCGAACGGUCGAACGUAGCGGCACCGUCACUGGUUUAUCGUUGGGCGUUUUUUGGUGUUUCAAAUAUCAUUGUCGAGCCACAAAUCUCCCUUUCUUCUCAGCCCAACCUAUUAUACACAGCCCCACACCACCCACCUAGCCUACCCCUCUGUUUCGGACCAUUGGAUUGAGAUCCGACGGCCCAAAAAUAGUGCAAGACCCCCUACCCUAAUCCCACAUGUUUUAAAUAGGUGUCAACCCUAAAUUCUAGGCAAAUUAUCCCAAUACAUACCCUUAGCCGCCGCCGCCUGUUGUCUCCCACCUCAGGAUCCCACAUAUGCACACCGAGCAAACCAGAGAGCCUCUCCUCUCGAUUCCAUCCAUCCAAUCAGCAGCUCCUCCUCCAACCUAUCGCCUCUCCUCGCUAGCUGCAACCAGCACGCAAGCUGGCCUGCUCGAUGGAUCAGGAGGAUCCCGAGCUCCUCGAGUGCGCGCCUCGCUGGAACCCCGCACCAUCCAAGACAACUUGACCCGUGGGAGAAGCGCUGACCUGUAGCCACCCGAGCCCGCAGGACCUCGCAUCCCCGACGACCGACAACUCGAGGUUGUCGUGCCAUGACCAUCUUUCUCCUUCCCUGCUUCCUCUUCUCUCUAUCUCCCUCUCCUACUUAUGUACACUUGCCUCUCCCGUAGAGAACACCCAUGGAUGGCAGCCCAAGCUUCUGGUGGACGUAGCAGUCGGAGCCCACAUCUCGCAAGCCGCGCUGCCUCAGACCCGUUCACGACGCUCCCACGCCAUUCCUCACCGUAGACCGGCCCAAGCUUCAGAGCUCCGCCCCCACCUCUCUGUGUCGUCGGCAGCCGCAUCGCCUCGCCAAGGCUCGGCGCCGCCAUGGCCUGCUGGACCUCGACCCCCUCCACCGUGCCAAUCCCUGACCAGAUUCAUGCACGUCACAUCUCCCAUGGUUGCUCUCUGUUGUUGAUGUGUGCGAUUGGGGAGAAGAAGACAUGCGCUUUGUUUAGUAUAGGUUGUUUCCCUCGGCUAGUAGACCACAACAUCAAUCACAACCGAGCUGGAUAGAACCACUUUGUUCCAUCCGAGGUGUCUAGGGUACGAACCCUAGGUGCCCCUAUUUUGUUUUGCCUUUUUUCUGUUGUUCUUUAAGCCAACACUGGCCACUCCUAGUUCAGCUAGAUUUGGUGUGUCUAUUGAACAGAUUCAAUCACUAGUCCUACUGCUAUUUUGUUUUGCCUUUUUCCUGUUGUUUUGUAAGUCAACACCGAGCUGGAUAGAACCACUUUGUUCCAUCCGAGGUGUCUAGGGUACGAACCCCAGGUGCCCCUAUUUUGUUUUGCCUUUUUUCUGUUGUUCUUUAAGCCAACACUGGCCGCUCCUAGUUCAGCUAGAUUUGGUGUGUCUAUUGAACAGAUUCAAUCACUAGUCCUACUGCUAUUUUGUUUUGCCUUUUUCCUGUUGUUCUGUAAGUCAACACCGGCCGCUCCUAGUUCAGCUAGAUUUGGUGUGUCUAUUGAACAGAUUCAAUCACUAGUUCUACUAGUUAGCUUAUCACGUUUGCAACCAGGAGGUAUCGGUUCGAUUCCCACUUACCCUAAUUUUUCCACGUUUAUUUUUUUUUCCUUUGCACACACACGCAUUGCAUACAUGUUGCAUUAAAAGCAUAUGAUCUUGUUUAUUUUAUUUUUUUUUGCACACACACGCAUUGCAUACAUGUUGCAUUAAAAGCAUAUGAUCUUGUUUAUUUUAUUUUUUUUUGCACACACACGCAUUGCAUACAUGUUGCAUUAAAAGCAUAUGAUCUUGUUUAUUUUAUUUUUUUUUGCACACACACGCAUUGCAUACAUGUUGCAUUAAAAGCAUAUGAUCUUGUUUAUUUUAUUUUUUUUUGCACACACACGCAUUGCAUACAUGUUGCAUUAAAAGCAUAUGAUCUUGUUUAUUUUAUUUUUUUUUGCACACACACGCAUUGCAUACAUGUUGCAUUAAAAGCAUAUGAUCUUGUUUAUUUUAUUUUUUUUUGCACACACACGCAUUGCAUACAUGUUGCAUUAAAAGCAUAUGAUCUUGUUUAUUUUAUUUUUUUUUGCACACACACGCAUUGCAUACAUGUUGCAUUAAAAGCAUAUGAUCUUGUUUAUUUUAUUUUUUUUUGCACACACACGCAUUGCAUACAUGUUGCAUUAAAAGCAUAUGAUCUUGUUUAUUUUAUUUUUUUUUGCACACACACGCAUUGCAUACAUGUUGCAUUAAAAGCAUAUGAUCUUGUUUAUUUUAUUUUUUUUUGCACACACACGCAUUGCAUACAUGUUGCAUUAAAAGCAUAUGAUCUUGUUUAUUUUAUUUUUUUUUGCACACACACGCAUUGCAUACAUGUUGCAUUAAAAGCAUAUGAUCUUGUUUAUUUUAUUUUUUUUUGCACACACACGCAUUGCAUACAUGUUGCAUUAAAAGCAUAUGAUCUUGUUUAUUUUAUUUUUUUUUGCACACACACGCAUUGCAUACAUGUUGCAUUAAAAGCAUAUGAUCUUGUUUAUUUUAUUUUCUUUUGCACACACACGCAUUGCAUACAUGUUGCAUUAAAAGUUAUUUUUUCUUUUGUACACACACGCAUUGCAUACAUGUUGCAUUAAAAGCAUAUGAUCUUGUUUAUUUUUCUUUUGUUUUGCACACACACGCAUUGCAUACAUGUUGCAUUAAAAGCAUAUGAUCUUGUGUUGUUCGAAGCUAGUUAACCGUAGCUCCGUUGGAGAUGAUGGAUAUAUGUAAAUCGACUAGAAUGAUGCGUAGAAUCACGUAAACAUAUUUAUUCUACUAUUUAACAAAAAAUAAAACAUGUUAGUUCAGAUCUGGACAGAUUUCUUAAUAAACGUAGCCCUAUUUUGUUUUGCCUUUUUUCUGUUGUUCUUUAAGCCAACACUGGCCGCUCCUAGUUCAGCUAGAUUUGGUGUGUCUAUUGAACAGAUUCAGUCACUAGUCCUACUGCUAUUUUGUUUUUCCUUUUUCCUGUUGUUCUGUAAGCCAACACCGGCCGCUCCUAGUUCAGCUAGCUUUGGUGUGUCUAUUGAACAGAUUCAAUCACUAGUUCUACUAGUUAGCUUAUCAUGUUUGCAACCAGGAGGUAUUGGGUUCGAUUCCCACGUACCCCAAUUUUUCCACGUUUAUUUUUUUUUCUUUUGCACACACACGCAUUGCAUACAUGUUGCAUUAAAAGCAUAUGAUCUUGUUUAUUUUAUUUUCUUUUGCACACACACGCAUUGCAUACAUGUUGCAUUAAAAGCAUAUGAUCUUGUGUUGUUCGAAGCUAGUUAACCGUAGCUCCGUUGGAGAUGAUGGAUAUAUGUAAAUCGACUAGAAUGAUGCAUAGAAUCACGUAAACAUAUUUAUUCUAAUAUUUAACAAAAAUUAAAACAUGUUAGUUCAGAUCUGGACAGAUUUCUUAAUAAACGUAUGGGGUAAUUUCGGAGAUGCUAUAAGUUAUUUCCACCUCAUUUAAAAUGCCUAGAUAGGUAGUUUAUUUGUGCUUCACCUCCUGCCAUGUUAACAACAUUUGAAAUUUACCGUGUACCUAAACGAGAGUGAACUAAAUGUUUGAAUGUGGAAUUUUGUCUAUAUGAAACUCGUUGCAUAUUGAGCUUCACUUAAUGUGUAGUAUUUAGUUAUUGCGAAUUGCCAUGCCAUGCCUUGCAUAAUUGAACUAGACAGGCAUCAUGUUAGGUUGUGGAUCAUAUCAUGCUUGUGUCGUGGUGAAUAUUGCAUGUUGAUUCUUGUUUUCGGUUUGCUUCGUCUCGGUAGAGUUCCACAAGUGUGUCAAAAUGUGAGGAUCCGUUCGACUACGUCGGUUCAUCUGCUUCUCGGAUUCGUUCUUCUACCAAGCGGGAUCACAAGCAAGAUGACCAUUUCCCUAGAUACCAUUACUGUCAAUGCCAUGCUAGUUGUCUCAUUUCUUUUAUUAUGUCUUGUUGCCUACCACCUGUUAAAUGUUAGCCUCCCAACAUUGCCAUUAAAGCCUUAUCCUGUAUACAACCUAGCAAACAACUGUUUGGACAUGUUACCGCAUGCUUAACCAUAUGAUUGUGUUGCUAGUUGCAUGUGCAGUUGCUUCCGUGUGACAUCUUGGGUUCCUUCUUAUAUCAUCAUAUUAUGGCUAAUUAAUUUAAUGGACAUAUAUUAUUGGUAAAAGGUGGAAGGCUCGGCCUUCUAGCCUGGAUUUUUUUUACCUUUGCCGCCCUAGUUUCGGCUACCAGUGUCAUAUUCCAUAAUUGAGCACUCCUAACACGCUCGGGUUUCUAUGGGGACCCCCUUGAUAAUUCAUUUUAGUUUAAAACGGGUCUAGCAAGGCCCAACUUUGGUACUAGAUUUUUCGAAUAACAAAUAAACUUGCAAAGGGACUAGUCGAACCCCGUGGAUAAUUAAUCAACCCCCAGGGCAGUUUUCUCCAUGAGUGUUGAUCCAAAUUGGCACACUAAGGGGCCACCGCGGGCCAACUCGAGGUCUGGUUUUACUUGUAGUGUUACCCACCGUCGUGUCCUAAGAACGAGAUACGUGGCUCCUAUCGGGUUCGUCGACACGUCGGGCGGCAUUGCUGGACUUGUUUUACCUUCUACGAAAUAUCUUAUGCAUAGGGAUUCCGGUGAUGCUUUGGGUUAUCUCGGAGUUGAGGUUUUCCACUAAGAAGUCCGAGGAGAUCAUGGGUUUCGUGAUCGUGGAUUUCUAUGUGGCUUGUGGUAAUUUGUGAUGGACUAGUUGGAGCACCCCUCCUUGGUUAAAUCGUUUAGAAAGUUGUUCUCGUGGUUAUGUGGCAAACUCAAAAACUUUAUUUAACAUUCGGUUCUAGAUAACUUGAAGUAAACUUAACUAAAACUUGCCAACCGUGUGUGUAACCGUGACAGUCUCUUCUCGUGAAAUCUGUAGCCGGAAGAGGACACAGUGGGGUUAUGUCUGACGUAAGUAGGUGUUCAGGAUCAUUCAUUUGAACAUUAUUAGUUCACGUCCGAUUAUGCAUAGAUCAUCCACCUCUUAUUCUUGUACUCGUAAGGUAGCCACUCAAAUAAAUGCUUAGUCGCUUGCUGCAGGUUCACCAUGUAACCAUGCCUCACCCAUUAAGAUUUGCUAGUCUUGAUACCUUUGCAAAUGAGAUUGUUGAGUCCAUGUGGCACAAAGAUUACUACAACACGAGUUGGAGGUACAGGUAAAGUGAUAUUAUGACGUGAGUGUGAUGAUUGUGCUUUUGGAGUUUCUUCUUCUUCUUCUCCGAUCUAGGAUGGGUUCCAGGCCGGCAGCCUAGGAUAGCAAGGAUCAACCUCAUUCUUUUAUUGUUUGUUUUCGUCCAUGGUCGGACCCUGCUCUUCUUCAUGAUGAUUGUAUAUUGUUGUAUUGAUGUGAACUUGAUGUAGCUUGUGGCGAGUGUAAGCCAAUUCCAUAUACUCACCUAUUCUAUACAUGUACUUGUAACGAUAUCCAUUCUUGCAAAACGACAGGAUGCACUCCCUGUCGAGGCCCUCAUGCCAAAAUAAUGGUAGGAUCACAUCUUGGGAGUUAUAAGUUGGUAUCAGAGCAGUACCGACCUAGGAGCCCUCUUGAUUGACCGAACUUGGACGAGUCAAGUCUAGUUAAAAACUACUUUGAGUCUAGUUAUAUAUCGGAGAGUAGGAUUCUUUUUUCUCCUCUUCUAUGCUCUAGUGAGGAAUAUUGAUGUAAUAUUUUUAAUUCUACUCCUCUUCUCACUCAAAAAGAAUUUAGGACCACGCGGGUAUUUCGGAAGCUAUAUGAUGUCGAUGUGAUGGAAUUAUGUCUUGGUGCCUCCUAUUUGACUUGAUUUCUUCCGGGGAGUUGAGCUCUAGGGGAUUCUUGAGCACAUUGUUAUCAUUCAGAUUUCUUAGUAUCUUAGGGAAGUGGAUGUUCGAAAUUGCUUCAAUAUAGUAGUGGCGAUAGGAGUCCGACAUCCCCAGUACUGGUGGAGAGAGUUCGGAUGUACUUCCAUACUUAGUAUCGUUGUGUUUUCAAGGGUCUAAGAUAGAUGAGUUUCCGAUAUCUCUGGUUAUGUGUUGACGGAUGUGAUACACUAGACGGGUUAGUGUUACUGCUAGGAGUUGAUUGAUGGAUUUUACUCCUUGUAUCCGUGGACCCGAUUGUAUGACAAGAAAUUUCAGGAGUUCUUAGGUUGGAAUUCAAGUAGUUACCUAUAAGACAAUCUUCCAACAGAUGCAUGAUGUGAGGUUGGGGUUCGACAUCUAGUGGAUUCGUUUGUUCACGAUCGUAUUCACACAGGACAGUCUCGAUAUAUGUCAUCAGUAUGCUUCGACAAGUCUUGUAGUUCGCUAUGCCUAGGGAGCAUAUUCGAGUGUAAUUUCAAUAUGACAAUACAAUGUACGAUCGAGCCCGUGCGAUCCUAUCCACGAAAAUAUCGAGUGGAAUCUCUGUCAUAUGUUUGUGUUGGCUAAUUUCCAAGCCUCGUCAUUUGUUUUGUUGGGGUAUGGUAAUUCAAGUUGCUUCGAUGUCAAGUGGUGAAUUCAUUAUUCCAAGAGGUGUUCUCAUACUUUAUAUGAGAGUGCAAAUUCUUUUGCUCAUUGAAAUUGUCUUAUCAAUUCUUUUCAACCGGAGUCGUCAUGUCAGUUCUUUUAAUCCGAAGUGCUUCUCUUCAAGUCAAUUCAAACCUCUCAAUGUUGCUAUAUCAAUCUCUCAUUUCUUUCCAGAGUUUGUCUCAUCUAUCCCAAGUUGUCUUUGUUUUUCCCUGCCCUCCCACCCUUCUAUUCAAUGAUUCAAUUUUCUACUAAGUGCCUUUUUGUUCAUUGUUGCUUUGGUAUUUUUUUUAUUCUAUAUCGUAACCAAUGAUUCAUUGUGAAGAUUUUCACAGGUUUCAGUUCAUCAUUCUUCUCAAUUGUUAUCUCUUCGUUCGUCUCUCAAUUAUCCCAGUGCCUUGUUCAAGUUUUCUCUCAAGAGGAUCAUGAUCUCCUUGUUCUCUUGUAUCUCCAUUCAUUCUUGGCAUCCUCAUUCAUUUGUGAAUUCUUACCGGUGCCUUGUUCAAGCAUUCUCUAAUCAAAUCUUUCUCUUUUGUUCUCAUGCACCCCAGUUCAUUUGUAGUAUCCUCUUUCAUUCCAAAUUCAUACUGGUGUUUCUUUCAAGAGUUCUUCAAGUGAUGCCUUAUCUAUCUCCCUCUUUAAGUUUUUUUUCAAGAAGAAUAAGUGAUAUGCCAAAUCCGUUGCUUGUCACCAAUUUAACUUGAUGAAGGAUGAGCAUAACAUAAUUAUCAUUCUUUUGUUUCAUCAAGGUGAUUUCAGUUCUUCUUCUGUAGUGGCUCAUGAUAUCAAUUUUCCAUUCAAUGUUGUUCAUCUCAUUUUUCCGGAGUUCCAAGUUUUCUCAAACAUCUCUUCAUGAAUCUUCAUCUAAAUCAUUGUAAGGCCUUUAAUCUUAUUCUUUCAUCCUUUCAUUCUAGUGUUCUUCAAGUGGUUUUCAUGAUGGUCCUUCAAUUUUUCAAUUAAUUCUCAAAGUGUCUUCAAGAUUCUUUUGGUAGUACCUAAGUGUUCGUAUCUUGUAUUUCAAAGUGCAAUUCUUCCUCCAUUUUCCUUUGAGGUGGUGUUAUAGCAUUCUUGUUAGUGGAAGAGUCUCGAAGGGAAGUUGUUUCAAGAAUGAGAUAACUAACCCCACCUAAUCCUUUGAUCAUGAGAUAUUUUAAGCCAGGGUUUCUUCAUUGAGUUAUCUGGGUUUAGAUUUCAUCCAAAGCUAUGUCUAAGGAUUGUUGCUAUUAUGGUGAUUAUCUUGAUCCAAGUGCUCAAUGUAUCCUCUUGGUAUAAGAUGGUUUGCAUGUUUUGCUCCCAAGCUAUCUUUGUUUCUCUUAGUGGUCGGUUGUCAACUCAUUAUUUGAGAUGUUUUUCAUAAGUCCACAACAAGCUUGUUCUUUUCGUUUUUGUUUUCCAACAACUCCGUUCUAUCCUUCUUGUAAGAUGCUUCUCAAAUUCAAUUGUGGUGAAAAUUGUCAUUUUCUUCUCUAUUCUCUUCUUCUCAAUGAUCUAGUUCCUAUUCAUUUGUUCCAGAGGCCUUGUGAUGUUGCUCCCUUUCAUUCAUGACCUUCUCUCAUCAAGCUCAUACUCUUUCAUGGCUUAUCUAUUUAGUUUGUUUGUUGUGAAUCUUUUCAAGAUCAUUCCAUCUUGUUGAAUUUGUUCCAACUUUCCUACUGAAGUGCUGCCGAAAUUUUGUUUGAAUUCUUGAUUGUUUCUCAUAUCAUUCUUCAUCUCUUUGUGACCUUCAAGGGUUGUUGGUUUCACUCAUUUGUCAAAGAAGCGACUAAGUUUUACAUUUUGCUCUUUCUUUUCCUCUUCCCCUUUCAUUCUUAGAUCUCGGGGAGAGAUCUCUUGUUAGUGUAGGAGAGUUGUAACAGCCCAAGACCGACGCGCCAAAAGAUUCCCCUUUUAUUUCGUUGUCGCCAUGUGUUUUAUUUGGUUCUCGCAUUCAUCAUCAGAUCAUCCGCAUUGCAUCGGCAUUCCGUUGCCGCCAGUUUUCAAAACAUGCAUCCGUUAGUAGUUGCCGAUUCUCUUCAUUUUGUCGUUGACCGUUUCGAGACCAACCACACACGCACGCGCCCACGACAUCAUUAAAAUAUUGAUUUUAAACAUGUGUACAAAAUAUUCUCGGAUUGGGUUGAAACUUGGCGUGCGGUCUUAUUUUAAUAUAGGUAGACCGCGUGACAAAUUUCGUCGCAAUCAGAGGUCGUGUGAUGCCCGAACUGUCGACCGUAGCGGCACCGUCAUCUAUCAUCGUAUGUUUUUUGUUGUUUAAAAUCUCAUUCUGCGGCCACAAAUCUCCCUCUCUUCUCAGCCCAACCUAUUCUACACGGCCGAACACCACCCACCUAUCCUACCCCUCCGUUUCGGACCGUCCGAUCGAGAUCACACGGUCCGAAAACGGCGCAAGACCCCUACCCUAAUCCCACAUGUUUUAAACAGAUGCCAACCCUAAAUUCUAGGAAGCUUGUCCCAAUCCAUCCCCUCAGCCGUCGCCACCUGUUGUCUCCCACCUCGAGAUCCUGCAGAUGCAAACCGAGCGAACCACAGAGCCUCUUCUCCCGAUUCCAUCCAUGCAAUCCGCAACUCCUCCUCCAACCUAGUGCCUCCCCUCACUAGCUACAGCAAACGCCCGAGUUGGCCAGCUCGAUGGAGCAGGAGGAUCCCGAGCUCCUCGAGUGCGCACCUCACCAGAACCCCACGCCAGACAAUAUAGCUCGACCCGCAGGAGCAGCACCAGCCUGCAACCACCCGACCCCACAGGACCUUGCGUUCCCGAAGACCGGCAGCUCGAGGUCGUCGUGCCUUGGCAAUCUUUCUCCUUCCCUCUGUCCUCUUCUCUCAAUCUCCCUCUCCUGCUUAUGUUCACCUGCCUCUCCCGCAGGGAACACCCAUGGAUGGCAGCCCAAGCUUCUGGUGGACGCAGCAGCCAGAGCCUCAUCCACAACCAGAUAUGGCAAGCCGUGCUACCUCGGACCCGUUCACGAUGCUCUCACGCCGUUCCUCGCCGUAGACCUGUUGGGGAACGUCGCAUGGGAAACAAAAAUUUUCCUACGCGCACGAAGACCUAUCAUGGUGAUGUCCAUCUACGAGAGGGGAUGAGUGAUCUACGUACCCUUGUAGACCGUACAACAUAAGCGUUAGAGAACGCGGUUGAUGUAGUGGAACGUCCUCACGUCCCUCGAUCCGCCCCGCGAACAAUCCCGCGAUCAGUCCCACGAUCUAGUACCGAACGGACGGCACCUCCGCGUUCAGCACACGUACAGCUCGACGAUGAUCUCGGCCUUCUUGAUCCAGCAAGAGAGACGGACAGGUAGAAGAGUUCUCCGGCAGCGUGACGGCGUUCCGGAGGUUGGUGAUGACCUUGUCUCAGCAGGGCUCCGCCCGAGCUCCGCAGAAACACGAUCUAGAGGAAAAACCGUGGAGGUAUGUGGUCGGGCUGCCGUGGAAAAGUCGUCUCAAAUCAGCCCUANGCGAUCAGUCCCACGAUCUAGUACCGAACGGACGGCACCUCCGCGUUCAGCACACGUACAGCUCGACGAUGAUCUCGGCCUUCUUGAUCCAGCAAGAGAGACGGACAGGUAGAAGAGUUCUCCGGCAGCGUGACGGCGUUCCGGAGGUUGGUGAUGACCUUGUCUCAGCAGGGCUCCGCCCGAGCUCCGCAGAAACACGAUCUAGAGGAAAAACCGUGGAGGUAUGUGGUCGGGCUGCCGUGGAAAAGUCGUCUCAAAUCAGCCCUAAAACCUCCGUAUAUAUAGGUGGGAGGGAGGGGGCCUUGCCUUGGGGCUCAAGGAGCCCCAAGGGGGUCGGCCGAGUCCAAGGGGGAGGACUCUCCCCCCCAAACCGAGUUGGACUAGGUUUGGUGGGAGGGAGUCCCCCUUCCUUCCCACCUCCUCCUUUUUUUUCUUUCUCUCUUGAUUUUCUUCUCCUUGGCGCAUAGGGCACUUGUGGGCUGUCCCACCAGCCCACUAAGGGCUGGUGUGUCUCCCUCAAGGCCUAUGGGCUUCCCCGGGGUGGGUUGCCCCCCCGGUGAACUCCCGGAACCCAUUCGUCAUUCCCGGUACAUUCCCGGUAACUUCGAAAACCUUCCAGUAAUCAAAUUAGGUCAUCCUAUAUAUCAAUCUUCGUUUCCGGACCAUUCCGGAAACCGUCGUGACGUCCAUGAUCUCAUCCGAGACUCCGAACAACAUUCGGUAACCAACCAUAUAACUCAAAUACGCAUAAAACAACGUCGAACCUUAAGUGUGCAGACCCUGCGGGUUCGAGAACUAUGUAGACAUGACCCGAGAGACUCCUCGGUCAAUAUCCAAUAGCGGGACCUGGAUGCCCAUAUUGGAUCCUACAUAUUCUACGAAGAUCUUAUCGUUUGAACCUCAGUGCCAAGGAUUCGUAUAAUCCCGUAUGUCAUUCCCUUUGUCCUUCGGUAUGUUACUUGCCCGAGAUUCGAUCGUCAGUAUCCGCAUACCUAUUUCAAUCUCGUUUACCGGCAAGUCUCUUUACUCGUUCCGUAAUACAAGAUCCCGCAACUUACACUAAGUUACAUUGCUUGCAAGGCUUGUGUGUGAUGUUGUAUUACCGAGUGGGCCCCGAGAUACCUCUCCGUCACACGGAGUGACAAAUCCCAGUCUUGAUCCAUAUUAACUCAACCAACACCUUCGGAGAUACCUGUAGAGCAUCUUUAUAGUCACCCAGUUACGUUGCGACGUUUGAUACACACAAAGCAUUCCUCCGGUGUCAGUGAGUUAUAUGAUCUCAUGGUCAUAGGAAUAAAUACUUGACACGCAGAAAACAGUAGCAACAAAAUGACACGAUCAACAUGCUACAUCUAUUAGUUUGGGUCUAGUCCAUCACGUGAUUCUCCCAAUGACGUGAUCCAGUUAUCAAGUAACAACACCUUGUUCAUAAUCAGAAGACACUGACUAUCAUCGAUCAACUGGCUAGCCAACUAGAGGCAUGCUAGGGAUGGUGUUUUGUCUAUGUAUCCACACAUGUAAAUGAGUCUUCAUUCAAUACAAUUAUAGCAUGGAUAAUAGACUAUUAUCUUGAUACAGGAAUUAUAAUAAUAACUAUAUUUAUUAUUGCCUCUAGGGCAUAAUUCCAACAGUCUCCCACUUGCACUAGAGUCAAUAAUCUAGCCCUCACAUCACCAUGUGAAUUACAUUGUAAUAAAUCUAACACCCAUACAGUUUUGGUGUCGAUCAUGUUUUGGCCGUGGAAGAGGUUUAGUCAGCGGGUCUGCUACAUUUAGAUCCGUGUGCACUUUGCAUAUAUUUACGUCCUCUUCCUCGACGUAGUCGCGGAUGAGGUUGAAGCGUCGUUUGAUGUGUCUGGUCUUCUUGUGAAACCGUGGUUCCUUUCCUAAGGCAAUGGCACCCGUGUUGUCACAGAACAAGGUUAUUGGAUCCAGUGCCCUUGGCACCACUCCAAGAUUCGUCAUGAACUGCUUCAUCCAGACACCCUCCUUAGCCGCCUCCGAGGCAGCCAUGUACUCCGCUUCACAUGUAGAAUCUGCUACGACGCUUUGCUUGGAACUGCACCAGCUUACUGAACCCCCAUUAAGAAUAAAUACGUAUCCGGUUUGCGACUUAGAGUCGUCCGGAUCUGUGUCAAAGCUUGCAUCGACGUAACCUUUUACGGCGAGCUCUUCGUCACCUCCAUACACGAGAAACAUCUCCUUAGUCCUUUUCAGGUACUUCAGGAUAUUCUUGACCGCUGUCCAGUGAUCCACUCCUGGAUUACUCUGGAACCUACCUGCCAUACUUAUGGCCAGGCUAACAUCCGGUCUAGUGCACAACAUCGCAUACAUGAUAGAACCUAUGGCUGAAGCAUAGGGUACGGAGCGCAUAUGCUCUCUAUUUUCAUCAGUUGCUGGGCACUGAGUCUUACUCAAUCUCGUACCUUGUAAAACUGGCAAGAACCCUUUCUUGGACUGUUCCAUUUUGAACCUCUUCAAAACUUUAUCAAGGUAUGUGCUUUGUGAAAGUCCUAUCAGGCGUUUUGAUCUAUCCCUAUAGAUCUUAAUGCCUAGAAUGUAAGCAGCUUCUCCUAGGUCCUUCGUAGAGAAACUUUUAUUCAAGUAACCUUUUAUGAUCUCCAAAAGCUCUAUGUUGUUUCCAAUCAGUAAUAUGUCAUCCACAUAUAAUAUUAGAAACGCCACAGAGCUCCCACUCACUUUCUUGUAAAUACAAGAUUCUCCAACCACUUGUAUAAACCCAAAUGCCUUGAUCACCUCAUCAAAGCGUUUGUCCAACUCCGAGAUGCUUGCACCAGUCCAUAAAUGGAUCGCUGGAGCUUGCACACCUUGUUAGCAUUCUUAGGAUCGACAAAACCUUCGGGUUGCAUCAUAUACAACUCUUCCUUAAGGAAACCGUUAAGGAACGCCGUUUUGACACCCAUCUGCCAGAUUUCAUAAUCGAAAAAUGCAGCUAUUGCUAACAUGAUUCUGACGGACUUAAGCAUUGCUACGGGUGAGAAAGUCUCAUCGUAGUCAAUUCCUGGAACUUGUGAAAAACCCUUUGCCACAAGUCGAGCUUUAUAAACGGUCACAUUACCGUCAGCGUCUGUCUUCUUCUUAAAGAUCCAUUUGUUCUGAAUAGCCUUGCGGCCCUCAGGUAGUAUCUCCAAAGUCCACACUUUGUUCUCGUACAUGGAUCCUAUCUCGGAUUUCAUGGCUUCUAGCCAUUUGUUGGAAUCUGGACCCACCAUUGCUUCUUCAUAAUUUGCAGGUUCAUUGUUGUCCAACAACAUGAUUGAUAAGACGGGAUUACCGUACCACUCUGGAGCAGCGCGUGAUCUCGUCGACCUCCGUGGUUCAACAGAAACUUGAACUGGAGUUUCAUGAUCAUCAUCAUUAACUUCCUCCUCAACCGGCGUCGCAACGACAGAGGUUUCCCCUUGCCCUGCGCCACCAUCCAGAGGGAUGAGAGGUUCGACAACCUCGUCAAGUUCUAUCUUCCUCCCACUCAAUUCUCUCGAGAGAAACUCCUUCUCGAGAAAAGUUCCGUUCUUAGCAACAAACACUUUGCCCUCGGAUUUGAGAUAGAAGGUGUACCCAACUGUCUCUUUUGGGUAACCUAUGAAGAAGCAUUUUUCCACUUUGGGUUCCAGCUUUUCAGGCUGAAGCUUUUUGACAUAAGCAUCACAUCCCCAAACUUUAAGAAACGACAACUUUGGCCUUUUGCCAUACCACAGUUCGUAUGGUGUCGUCUCAACGGAUUUUGAUGGUGCCCUACUUAAAGUGAAUGCAGCUGUUUCUAAUGCAUAACCCCAAAAUGAUAACGGCAAAUCAGUAAAAGACAUCAUAGAUCGCACCAUCUCUAACAAAGUACGAUUACGACGUUCGGACACACCAUUACACUGUGGUGUUCCAGGCGGUGUUAACUGUGAAACAAUUCCACAUUGUCUUAAGUGAGCACCAAACUCGAAACUCAGAUAUUCACCCCCACGAUCAGACCGUAGGAACUUGAUCUUCUUGUUACGAUGAUUUUCCACUUCACUCUGAAAUUGCUUGAACUUUUCAAAUGUUUCAGACUUGUGCUUCAUCAAGUAGACAUAACCAUAUCUACUUAAAUCGUCAGUGAAGGUGAGAAAAUAACGAUAUCCGCCGCGUGCCUCCACGCUCAUUGGACCACACACAUCGGUAUGUAUGAUUUCCAAUAAGUCACUUGCACGCUCCAUUGUUCCGGAGAACGGAGUCUUAGUCAUUUUGCCCAUGAGGCAUGGUUCGCACGUGUCAAGUGAAUCAAAGUCAAGUGACUCAAAAAGUCCAUCAGCAUGGAGUUUCUUCAUGCGUUUUACACGAAUAUGACCCAAGCGGCAGUGCCACAAAAAUAUGGCGCUAUCAUUGUUUACUCUAACUCUUUUGGUCUCAAUGUUAUGUAUAUGCGUAUCGUUAUCAAGAUUCAUUAUGAAAAAUCCUCUCACAUUCGGUGCAUGACCAUAAAAGAUGUUACUCAUAGAAAUAGAACAACCAUUAUUCUCAGACUUAAAAGAGUAACCGUCUCGCAAUAAACAAGAUCCAGAUAUAAUGUUCAUGCUCAACGCAGGCACUAAAUAACAAUGAUUUAAGUUCAUCACUAAUCCCGAUGGUAGCUGAAGUGACACUGUGCCGACGGCGAUUGCAUCAACCUUGGAACCAUUUCCUACGCGCAUCGUCACUUCGUCUUUCGCCAGCCUUCGUCUAUUCCGCAGUUCCUGCUUCGAGUUGCAAAUAUGAGCAACAGAACCGGUAUCGAAUACCCAGGCACUACUACGAGAGCCGGUUAAGUACACAUCAAUAACAUGUAUAUCAAAUAUACCUGAUUUUUCUUUGCCCGCCUUCUUAUCUGCCAGAUACUUGGGGCAAUUGCGCUUCCAGUGACCCAUACCCUUGCAAUAGAAACACUCCGUUUCAGGCUUAGGUCCAGCCUUGGGUUUCUUCGGCGGAUUGGCAACAGGCUUGCCGCUCUUCUUCGAAUUGCCCUUCUUGCCUUUGCCGUUUCUCUUGAAACUAGUGGUCUUAUUCACCAUCAACACUUGAUGCUCUUUACGGAGUUCAAACUCUGCGACUUUCAACGUCGCAAACAACUCGCCGGGAGACUUGUUCAUCCCUUGCAUGUUGUAGUUCAACACAAAGCCUUUGUAGCUUGGCGGCAGUGAUUGAAGGAUUCUGUGAGUGAUAGCUUCUUGCGGGAGUUCAAUCCCCAGCUCAGUUAGACGGUUUGAGUACCCAGACAUUUUGAGCACAUGUUCACUGACAGACGAGUUUUCCUCCAUCUUGCAAGCAUAGAAUUUAUCGGAGGUCUCAUACCUCUCGAUCCGGGCGUUCUUCUGAAAGAUAAACUCCAACUCCUGGAACAUCUCAAAUGCUCCAUGACGCUCAAAGCGACGUUGAAGUCCCGGUUCUAAGCCAUACAAGACUGCACAUUGAACUAUUGAGUAGUCCUCCUUACGUGCUAACCAAGCGUUCUUAACAUCCUGAUCAGCGGUAGCGGGUGGUUCAUCUCCUAGCGCAGCAUUAAGGACAUAAUCCUUCUUCCCAGCUUGUAAGAUUAGCUUAAGAUUACGAGCCCAGUCUACAAAGUUGCUUCCAUCAUCUUUCAACUUAGCUUUCUCUAGGAACGUAUUAAAAUUCAGGAUGACUGUCGCGUGAGCCAUGAUCUACAACACAAAUAUAUUCAAAGUGGACUUAGACUAUGUUCAAGAUAAUUAGAGUUCAACUUAAUCAAAUUAUAUGCUAAACUCCCACUCAAAAAGUACAUCUCUCUAGUCGUUUGAGUGGUUCAUGAUCCACUUACACUAUCCCAAGUCCGAUCAUCACGAGAGUUGAGUAUAGUUUCAGUGGUAAGCAUCCCUAUGCUAAUCAUAUCAACUAUAUGAUUCAUGAUCGACCUUUCGGUCUCAUGUGUUCCGAGGCCAUGUCUGCACAUGCUAGGCUCGUCAAGCUUAACCCGAGUGUUCCGCGUGCGCAACUGUUUUGCACCCGUCGUAUGUGAACGUUGAGUCUAUCACACCCGAUCAUCACGUGGUGUCUCGAAACGACGAACUGUAGCAACGGUGCACGGUCGGGGAGAACACAAUUUCGUCUUGAUAUUUUAGUGAGAGAUCACCUCAUAAUGCUACCGUCGUUCUAAGCAAAAUAAGGUGCAUAAAAGGAUUAACAUCACAUGCAAUUCAUAAGUGACAUGAUAUGGCCAUCAUCACGUGCUUCUUGAUCUCCAUCACCAAAGCACCGGCACGAUCUUCUUGUCACCGGCGCCACACCAUGAUCAUCCAUCAACGUGUUGCCAUUGGGGUUGUCGUGCUACUUAUGCUAUUACUACUAAAGCUACAUCCUAGCAAAAUAGUAAACGCAUCUACAAGCACAAACGUUAGUAUAAAGACAACCCUAUGGCUCCUGCCGGUUGCCGUACCAUCGACGUGCAAGUCGAUAUUUCUAUUACAACAUGAUCAUCUCAUACAUCCAAUAUAUCACAUCACAUCGUUGGCCAUAUCACAUCACAACCAUACCCUGCAAAAACAAGUUAGACGUCCUCUAAUUUUGUUGUUGCAUGUUUUACGUGGUGACCAAGGGUAUCUAGUAGGAUCGCAUCUUACUUACGCAAACACCACAACGGAGAUAUAUGAGUUGCUAUUUAACCUCAUUCAAGGACCUCCUCGGUCAAAUCCGAUUCAACUAAAGUUGGAGAAACCGACACUUGCCAGUCAUCUUUGAGCAAAGGGGGUUACUCGUAACGAUGAAACCAGUCUCUCGUAAGCGUACGAGUAAUGUCGGUCCAAGCCGCUUCAAUCCAACAAUACCGCGGAAUCAAGAAAAGACUAAGGAGGGCAGCAAAACGCACAUCACCGCCCACAAAAACUUUUGUGUUCUACUCGAGAAGAAAUCUACGCAUGAACCUAGCUCAUGAUGCCACUGUUGGGGAACGUCGCAUGGGAAACAAAAAUUUUCCUACGCGCACGAAGACCGAUCAUGGUGAUGUCCAUCUACGAGAGGGGAUGAGUGAUCUACGUACCCUUGUAGACCGUACAGCAGAAGCGUUAGAGAACGCGGUUGAUGUAGUGGAACGUCCUCACGUCCCUCGAUCCGCCCCGCGAACAAUCCCGCGAUCAGUCCCACGAUCUAGUACCGAACGGACGGCACCUCCGCGUUCAGCACACGUACAGCUCGACGAUGAUCUCGGCCUUCUUGAUCCAGCAACAGAGACGGAGAGGUAGAAGAGUUCUCCGGCAGCGUGACGGCGUUCCGGAGGUUGGUGAUGACCUUGUCUCAGCAGGGCUCCGCCCGAGCUCCGCAGAAACGCGAUCUAGAGGAAAAACCGUGGAGGUAUGUGGUCGGGCUGCCGUGGAAAAGUCGUCUCAAAUCAGCCCUAAAACCCCCGUAUAUAUAGGUGGGAGGGAGGGGGCCUUGCCUUGGGGCUCAAGGAGCCCCAAGGGGGUCGGCCGAGUCNAGAGACGGAGAGGUAGAAGAGUUCUCCGGCAGCGUGACGGCGUUCCGGAGGUUGGUGAUGACCUUGUCUCAGCAGGGCUCCGCCCGAGCUCCGCAGAAACGCGAUCUAGAGGAAAAACCGUGGAGGUAUGUGGUCGGGCUGCCGUGGAAAAGUCGUCUCAAAUCAGCCCUAAAACCCCCGUAUAUAUAGGUGGGAGGGAGGGGGCCUUGCCUUGGGGCUCAAGGAGCCCCAAGGGGGUCGGCCGAGUCCAAGGGGGAGGACUCUCCCCCCCAAACCGAGUUGGACUAGGUUUGGUGGGAGGGAGUCCCCCUUCCUUCCCACCUCCUCCUUUUUUUUCUUUCUCUCUUGAUUUUCUUCUCCUUGGCGCAUAGGGCACUUGUGGGCUGUCCCACCAGCCCACUAAGGGCUGGUGUGUCUCCCUCAAGGCCUAUGGGCUUCCCCGGGGUGGGUUGCCCCCCCGGUGAACUCCCGGAACCCAUUCGUCAUUCCCGGUACAUUCCCGGUAACUUCGAAAACCUUCCGGUAAUCAAAUUAGGUCAUCCUAUAUAUCAAUCUUCGUUUACGGACCAUUCCGGAAACCGUCGUGACGUCCAUGAUCUCAUCCGAGACUCCGAACAAUAUUCGGUAACCAACUAUAUAACUCAAAUACGCAUAAAACAACGUCGAACCUUAAGUGUGCAGACCCUGCGGGUUCGAGAACUAUGUAGACAUGACCCGAGAGACUCCUCGGUCAAUAUCCAAUAGCGGGACCUGGAUGCCCAUAUUGGAUCCUACAUAUUCUACGAAGAUCUUAUCGUUUGAACCUCAGUGCCAAGGAUUCGUAUAAUCCCGUAUGUCAUUCCCUUUGUCCUUCGGUAUGUUACUUGCCCGAGAUUCGAUCGUCAGUAUCCGCAUACCUAUUUCAAUCUCGUUUACCGGCAAGUCUCUUUACUCGUUCCGUAAUACAAGAUCCCGCAACUUACACUAAGUUACAUUGCUUGCAAGGCUUGUGUGUGAUGCUGUAUUACCGAGUGGGCCCCGAGAUACCUCUCCGUCACACGGAGUGACAAAUCCUAGUCUUGAUCCAUAUUAACUCAACCAACACCUUCGGAGAUACCUGUAGAGCAUCUUUAUAGUCACCCAGUUACGUUGCGACGUUUGAUACACACAAAGCAUUCCUCCGGUGUCAGUGAGUUAUAUGAUCUCAUGGUCAUAGGAAUAAAUACUUGACAUGCAGAAAACAGUAGCAACAAAAUGACACGAUCAACAUGCUACGUCUAUUAGUUUGGGUCUAGUCCAUCACGUGAUUCUCCCAAUGACGUGAUCCAGUUAUCAAGUAACAACACCUUGUUCAUAAUCAGAAGACACUGACUAUCAUCGAUCAACUGGCUAGCCAACUAGAGGCAUGCUAGGGAUGGUGUUUUUUCUAUGUAUCCACACAUGUAAAUGAGUCUUCAUUCAAUACAAUUAUAGCAUGGAUAAUAAACUAUUAUCUUGAUAUAGGAAUUAUAAUAAUAACUAUAUUUAUUAUUGCCUCUAGGGCAUAAUUCCAACAAGACCGGACCGAGCACCAGAGCUCCGCCCCCACCUCUCCGUGUCGUCGGCAACCGCGUCGCGCUGCCCAGGCCUGGCGCCGCCAUGGCCUGCUGGACCUCGAUCCCCUCCACCGCGCCAAUCCCCGACAGGAUCCCGCAUGGAGCAGGUCUGUGCCCUUGACAUCCUCCAUGGUUGCUCUCUGUUGUUGUUGUGUGCGAUUGGGGAGAUGAAGACCCGCGCUUUGUCUACUAUAGGUCCCUCGACUAGUAGACCACAACAUCAACCAAAACCUAGCUGGAUAGCACCACUCUGUUCCAUCCGAGGGAUCUGUGAUUCGAAUCGCAAGUUCCCCUAUUUUGUUUUGCAUUUUUCUGUUGUUUUGUAAGUCAACGCCGGCCUCUCCUAGUUCAGCUAGAUUUGGUCUGUCUAUCGAACAGAUUCAGUCACUAGUCCUACUGGUUAGCGUAUCACGUUUGCAACCAGGAGGUACUGGGUUUGGAAUUAUUUUGUUUUGCAUUUUUCUGUUGUUCUGUAAGUCAACACCGGCUGCUCCUAGUUCAACUAGAUUUGGUCUGUCAAUUGAACACAUUCAGUCACUAGUCCUACUGGUUAGCGUACAAUUUUUGCCAUGUUUAUAUUUUUUCGUUCUGCACACACACACAUUGCAUACAUGUUGCAUUCAAAGUAUAUGAUUUUGUGUUGUUCGUAGCUAAUUAAUCGUAGCUCCGUUGGAGAUGAUCGAUAUAUGUAAAUCGACUAGAAUGACGCGUAGAAUUACGUGAACCUCUUUGUUCUACUGUUUAACAAACAUUAAAACAUGUUUGUUCAGAUCUAGACAGAUUUCUUUAUUAACAUAUGUGGUCAUUUCAAAUAUGUUAUAAGUUGUUUCCAACCUCAUUGAAAAUUCCGAGAUAGGUAGUUUAUUUGUGCUCCACCUCCUGCCACGUUAACAACAUUUUAAAAUUAUCGUGGACCUAAACGAGAGUGAACUAAAUGUUUGAAUGUGGAGUUUCGUCAAUAUAAAACUCGUUGCAUGUUGAGCUUCACUUAAUGUGUAGUGUUUGAUUGUUGUGAAUUUCCAUGCCAUGCCUUGUAUAAUUGAAAUGGACAUGCAUCAUGUUAGGUUGUGCAUCAUAUCAUGCAUGUGUCGUGGUGAAUAUUGCGUGUUGAUUCUUGUUUCUGGUUUGCUUCAUUUCGAUAGAGUUCUGCAAGCGAGUCGGAAUGUGAGGAUCCGUUUGACUACGUCGGUUCAUCUGCUUCACGGAUUUGUUUUUCUACCAGGCGGGAUCACACGCAAGAUGACCAUUUCCCUAGAUACCAUUACUGUCAAUGCAAUGCUACUUUUCUCAUUUUUUUCAUUAUGUCUCGCUGGCUACCACCUGUUAAAUGUCAGCCUACCAACAUUGCCAUGAAAGCCUUAUCAUGUCUACAACAUAGCAAACCACUGUUUGUCCAUGUUACCGCUUGCUUAACCAAAUGAUAGCGUUGCUAGUUGCAGGUGUAGUUGCUUCCAUGUGACAUCAUGUGUUCCUUGUUAUAUCAUCGCAUUAUGGCUAGUUAAUUUAAUGGACCUAUAUACUUGGUGAAAAGGUGGAAGGCUCAACCUUCUAGCCUGGUGUUUUGUUCCAUCUUUGCCGCCCUAGUUUCGGCUACCGGUGUUAUAGUCCAUAAUUUAGCGCUCCUAGCAUGCUCGGGGUUGUUAUCGGACCUCGUUGAUAAUUCGUUUUAGUUCAAAACUGGUCUGGCAAGGACAAACUUUGGUACUACAUUUGCCUAAUAACUAAUAAACUUUCAUAGGGACCACCCUCGUGGAUAAUUAAUCAAGCCUCAGUCCAGUGCUCCACAUGAGUGUUGGUCCAAACUGGUGAACUACGGGGCCACCAUGGGGCAACUCGAGGUCUGGUUUUACUCGUAGUGUGACCCAUCCGUCGUGUCCUGAGAACGAGACGCGCCGCUCCUAUCGGGUUCAUCGACAUGUUAGGCAGCCUUGCUGGGCUUAUUUUACCUUUUACGAAAUAUCUUGUGCAUCGGGAUUCUGGUGAUGCUUUGGGUUAUCUCAUAGUUGAGGUUUUCCUGUAAGGAAUCCGAGGAGAUCACGAGUUUCGUGAUCGAGGCUUUCUAUGCGGCUUGUGGUAAUUUGUGAUGGACUAGUUAGAGCACCCCUGCAGGGUUAAAUCUUGCAGAAAGCCGUCCUCACGGUUAUGAGGGAAACUUGGAAACUUUCUUUAACAUCCAGUUCUAGAUAACUUGAAGUAAACUUAAUUAAAACUUCUCAACCGUGUGCAUAACCGUGACUGUCUCUUCUCGUGAGUUCUGUAUCCGGAAGAGGACACAGUGGGGUUAUGUAUGACGUAAGUAGGUGUUCAGGAUCAUUCAUUUGAUCAUUAUUAGUUCACAUCUAAUUAUGCGUAGGUCAUCCGCCUCUUAUUCUUGUACUCGUAAGCUAGUCACUCAAAUAAAUGCUUAGUCGCUUGCUGCAGGCUCACCACUUAACCAUGCCUCACCCAUUAAGAUUUUCUAGUCUUGAUACCUUUGGAAAUGAGAUAGUUGAGUCCCUAUGGCUCACAGAUUACUACAAAACCAAUCGCAGGUACAGGUAAAGUGAUAUUACGACGUGAGUGUGAUGAUUGUGCUUUUGGAGUUUCUUCUUCUUCAUCAUCGACCUAAGAUGGGUUCCAUGCCGGCUGCCUACGAUAGCAAGGAUGGACCUAAUUCUUUUAUCAUUUGUUUUCGUAUGUAGUUGGACCCUACUCUUCUUCAUGAUGACUGUAUAUUGUUGUAUUGAUGUGAACUUGAUGUAGCUUGUGGCGAGUGUAAGCCAAUUCCAUAUACUUAUCUAUUCUGUACAUGUACUUGUAACGAUAUCCAUUCUUGCAAAAUGACGAGAUGUGCUUCUAUCCCUAUCGAGGUCCUCGUACCAAAAUAAGGGUAGGAUCGCAUCUUGGGCGUUACGCUCGGGCUGUUACAACUCUCCUACACUAACAAGAGAUCUCGAUCCAAGAUCUAGGAAUGCAAGGGGAAGAGAAAGAGCAAGAGUAAUAGGUAAAAUUUAGUCACGUCUUGACAAACGAGUGAAGCAAACGAUCCUGAAGGUUGGAGAGAGAUGAAGAAUGACAUGAGGAACAAGAAAUAAUUCACAAGAAUUUUGGCAGCACUUCGGUGGGAAAUUGAGGACAAAAUUUGUUCGCGGGACUGAUGGGGUCAUAGUCCUAGGGUAGGGUCAUAGGCCUGUCAUAUAGGUCCUACCCAAGGACUAUCCCUCGCAAAGGACAAGGCCCUAGUCAGUCCCGACUGAAUUAAGGGGUCCCCAUCAUCCAGUCGGUAACAGGUCCUCAACCAUCCAGUCGGAGACUAGCAUUCGGAGGAUACCAAUCUAACCGACUAGCUACACUCGGUACAUCGUAACCUCUCUGGAGGGAAACUGCCGUACGUUUUGGGGUGCAUUUAUUAGCAUUUAGAGCAUACGUUACCUCUAACAUACGCAUUCAAUCCCCACUACUCCACCCCUGUACCGGAACCGUUGUGGAGGGCAGCGCACUCUAUAUAAGCCGCCUUCCCCCACUGGUAGAGGGGUUAGAAAAUCAUGGUAUUCUAUAUUCCACUCGACAACAAGCUCCGAGAGCACUGAGACGUAGGGCUGUUACCUCCACCGCUGAGGGGCCCGAACUCAUACAACCUCGUCGUAGCUAGGACUCUGCCCAUCUCAUUCGUACCCUACACAUCUAACUAUCUCCGAGUGUGCACUACACGUCACACUCGGGGGCUUAGCUGCGAUCCAGCAUCGCCUAAGUAUUAACUUUCUUUGAGUCUGCGCUACACGUCACACUCGGGAGCUUAGCUGCGAUCCAGCAUCGCCUAAGUACUAACUUUCUCCGAGUGUGCGCUACAUGUCANNNNNNNNNNNNNNNNNNNNNNNNNNNNNNNNNNNNNNNNNNNNNNNNNNNNNNNNNNNNNNNNNNNNNNNNNNNNNNNNNNNNNNNNNNNNNNNNNNNNACUCCGUCUCUGAAACUUUUCCGGUAAUGCACGAAACCUUCCGGUAACCAAAUGAGGUCAUCCUAUGUAUAAAUCUUCAUUCCGGACCAUUCCGGAAACCCUCGUGACAUCCGUGAUCUCAUCCGGGACUCCGAACAACAUUCGGUAAUCAACCAUAUAACUCAAAUACGCAUAAAACAACGUCGAACCUUAAGUGUGCAGACCCUGCGGGUUCGAGAACUAUGUAGACAUGAUCCGAGAGACUCCUCGGUCAAUAUCCAAUAGCGGGACCUGGAUGCCCAUAUUGGAUCCUACAUAUUCUACGAAGAUCUUAUCGUUUGAACCUCAGUGCCAAGGAUUCAUAUAAUCCCGUAUGUCAUUCCCUUUGUCCUUCGGUAUGUUACUUGCCCGAGAUUCGAUCGUUAGUAUCCGCAUACGUAUUUCAAUCUCGUUUGCCGGCAAGUCUCUUUACUCGUUCCGUAAUACAAGAUCCCGCAACUUACAUUAAGUUACAUUGCUUGCAAGGCUUGUGUGUGAUGUUGUAUUACCGAGUGGGCCCCGAGAUACCUCUCCGUCACACGGAGUGACAAAUCCCAGUCUCGAUCUAUACUAACUCAACGAACACCUUCGGAGAUACCUGUAGAGCAUCUUUAUAGUCACCCAGUUAUGUUGCGACGUUUGAUACACACAAAGCAUUCCUCCGGUGUCCGUGAGUUAUAUGAUCUCAUGGUCAUAGGAACAAAUACUUGACACGCAGAAAACAGUAGCAACAAAAUGACACGAUCAACAUGCUACGUCUAUUAGUUUGGGUCUAGUCCAUCACAUGAUUCUCCUAAUGAUGUGAUCCCGUUAUCAAGUGACAACACUUGCCUAUGGCCAGGAAACCUUGACCAUCUUUGAUCAACGAGCUAGUCAACUAGAGGCUUACUAGGGACAGUGUUUUGUCUAUGUAUCCACACAAGUAUUGUGUUUCCAAUCAAUACAAUUAUAGCAUGGAUAAUAAACAAUUAUCAUGAACUAAGAAAUAUAAUAAUAACUAAUUUCUUAUUGCCUCUAGGGCAUAUUUCCAACAGUCUCCCACUUGCACUAGAGUAAAUAAUCUAGUUCACAUCACCAUGUGAUUCCAACGAAUCCAACACCCAUAUAGUUAUGGGGUCUGAUCACAUCUUGCUCGUGAGAGAGGUUUUAGUCAACGGUUCUGAAACUUUCAGAUUCGUGCGUUCUUUACAAAUCUUUAUGUCAUCUUAUAGAUGCUGCUACUACGUGCUAUUCGGAAAUGCUCCAAAUAUCUACUCUACUAUACGAAUCCGUUUCACUACUCAUAGUUAUCCGGAUUAGUGUCAAAGCUUGCAUUGACGUAACCCUUUACGACAAACUCUUUAACCACCUCCAUAAUCGAGAAAAAUUCCUUAGUCCAUUAGUUACUAAGGAUAAAUUUCGACCGCUGCUAGUGAUUCAAUCAUGGAUCACUCUCUGUACCUCUCAACAUACUUUGAGUCAAGGCACACAGGGGAUAGGUACACAGCAUGGCAUACUUUAGAUUCUACGGCUAAGGCAUAGAAGACGACCUUCGUCUAUUCUCUUUAUUCUGCCGUGGUCGGGUUUUGAGUCUUACUCAAAUUCACACCUCACAACGCAACCAAGAACUCCUUCUUUGCUGGUCUAUUUUGAACCCUUUCAAAAACUUGUCAAGGCAUGCGAUCGUUGUUGAAACUUCUAUUAAGCGCUUUCGAUCUAUCUCCAUAGAUCUUUGAUGCUCAACGUUCAAGUAGCGUAAUCCAGGUACUCCUUUGAAAACUUCUUUCAAACAACCUUGUAUGCUUUACAGAAAUUCUACAUUACUUCUGAUCCACAAUAUGUCAACCACAUAUACCUAUCAGAAAUUCUAUAGUGCUCCCACUCACUUCUUUGGAAAUACAAGUUUCUCAUAAACCUUGUACAAACCCAAAAUCUUUGAUCAUCUCAUCAAAGUGUAUAUUCCAACUCCAAGAUGCUUGCACCAGUCCAUUGAAGGAUCACUGGAGCUUGCAUACUUGCUAGUAUCUUUAGGAUCGACAAAACCUUCUGGUUGUAUCACAUACAAUGUUUGCUCAAGGAAACCGUCGAAGAAAACAAUGUUUUGACAUCCUACGUGCAAUAUUUCAUAAAUAAUGCAUCAACAACUAACAUAAUUCUAACAGUACUUUUAGCAUCGCUAUAGAGWCGGAGUNNNNNNNNNNNNNNNNNNNNNNNNNNNNNNNNNNNNNNNNNNNNNNNNNNNNNNNNNNNNNNNNNNNNNNNNNNNNNNNNNNNNNNNNNNNNNNNNNNNNAUCAUUAUUAGUUCACUUCCGAUAUGCGUAGAUCACCCCCUCYUAUUUUGUUACUCGUAAGUUAGCCACCUCAAUAAAUGCUUGGUCGCUAGCUGCAGCCUCACCAAUUAAGCUUUGUUAGUCUCGAUACCUUUGGAAAUGAAAUUGCUGAGUUCCUGUGGCUCCCAAAUUACUACAACACCAAUUGCAAGUACAAGUAAUGUGAUAUUAUGUUGUGAGCGCGAUGAUUGUGCUUUUGGAGUUUCUUCUUCUUCAUCAUCAUCGAUCUAGGAUGGGUUCCACGCCGGCAACCUAGGAUAGCAAGGAUGGACGUCGUUCUUUUAUCAUUUAUUUUCGUCCAUAGUCGAACCCUGCUCUUUUUCAUGAUGAUUGUAUAUUGUUGUAUUUAUGUGAACUUGAUGUAGCUUGUGGAGAGUGGAAGCGAUUUCCAUAUACUCAUCUCUUCAGUAUUGUCACACACGUUUUUACCUUACUUCAAUUGUAGUCUUUUCAAAAACCUGAAUUUAUUAUAACUUUUUAAGCAAGUGCUAUGAGUGCCAUGAUUGCCUAUUGUUUGUGUGCCAUGAUUGCCAUUGUUUGUGUGUAUGCUUGAGUGAGUGGAUCCAAAAAUAAUAUUUUUAUAACGUGAGAUUUCCAAAAAGAUCCUUUUUCUCAUUUUUGACCAUUUCAAAACCUUGCUAUGGGUUUGCACUUCAAGUCCCUGAUUCCAAGGGAGUGCCUCCACCCAAAGAUUGUAUUAUGAUUUUGGCACUAUUAUAACUUUCCAAAGUCAUAAAAUAUUUAUUUUAUAAAAUAAUUUUCUAUUUUAUUUGCAUGUCCUUUUCUGAGGUGAGAAAUGAUAUUUCUGAAUGGAAAAUUAUUUUUCUGCCUUAGAAAAACUUGAGAAAAUUGAAGAUAUGCACAGGACAUAUAUUUUCCAUAAUAAGAUUUUCAACCCCUAUUUAUGUUCAAAAUAUUUGAGCAAAUCCUUGAAAACCUAUUCUGUCUGUUUUGACCUUUUGAAAUAUUUCCAAAGGAAACAGUUUCAAUAAAUUCCUAGAAAAUUCUAGCAUGCUUCCCAAGUUAUAUUUGGUGGUCAUGCCAAGUUUCACCUUAUUCCAAGGUUCUUUGGUUCACCAAAUAUUCCUAUGACCUUCCGUUUCCAGAAUUAAGUUGAAGCAACUCUACAUAGAAAAGUUUGUCCAAAUGGCCUAAAGCUUUGCACGAGUGAUCAACACCCCAAAUGAAGAGACCCUGCCAAAAAAUAGAUUUGUGGUAUUAAUUUAGCCACAUUCUCUUUUAAAGGACAGAACUGCCCAUUUGGGGGAUUUCAAGUUUGCAUUGUCAACCUUGUCCAAUGGCGCUCAAAUUUGGUGGAGCAUCCUACUUUGUAUUAAACCCAAUCAUGUUAACUUUCAACAUGAGUGGUGGAGGUUAACUACCCCAAACACAUAUCAAUCACCUUCUGCCUGGAUGGUCAAACAACACUUAACACCCUCUACACCCACUCCCUUUCCACUAAACUCUUAGUGCAAGCUGCCAGCACCACUCCUCAACUGCAGACGAGUGGCCCCUCUAUGGUUCCGAGCAGGUGAGUCAAAAUCCCCAAUUUAGUUUCUGAAUCAAGCCUGACAGCUCCUCUUCAAGCACUUCCUUUGACCAGCAGUGAGACCCUCGGCUCCCAAACGGCUAAAGGGCAUCUAAGCCAACCCCCGGACACGUCAGACAGGGCCAAAGCACCCCAGAGCACGCCAGCAUGCCGUGGCAUGCCAAAUCUGUGCUCUGGGCACGCUACAAGGCACACGAGGGGAUAGGAGGCCAGCCCCNNNNNNNNNNNNNNNNNNNNNNNNNNNNNNNNNNNNNNNNNNNNNNNNNNNNNNNNNNNNNNNNNNNNNNNNNNNNNNNNNNNNNNNNNNNNNNNNNNNNGUCGUGGGCGGCGURGUCGUGYGUGUGUGGUUAGGUCGUCGAAACGGUCAACGACCAAAAUAGAAGAGAAUACGGCAACUACUAACGGAUAGCAUGUUUUGUAAAACUAGGCGGCAACGGAAUAGCCGAUGCAAUGCGGAUGAUCUGAUGAUGAAUGCGAGAACCAAAUAAAACACAUGGCGACAACGAAAUAAAAGGGGAAUCUUUUGGCGCGUCGGUCUUGGGCUGUUACAACUCUCCUACACUAACAAGAGAUCUCUCCCCGAGAUCUAAGAAUGAAAGGGGAAGAGGAAAAGAAAGAGCAAAAUGUAAAACUUAGUCGCUUCUUUGACAAAUGAGUGAAACCAACAACCCUUGAAGGUCACAAAGAGAUGAAGAAUGAUAUGAGAAACAAUCAAGAAUUCAAACAAAAUUUCGGCAGCACUUCAGUAGGAAAGUUGGAACAAAUUCAACAAGAUGGAAUGAUCUUGAAAAGAUUCACAACAAACAAACUAAAUAGAUAAGCCAUGAAAGAGUAUGAGCUUGAUGAGAGAAGGUCAUGAAUGAAAGGGAGCAACAUCACAAGGCCUCUGGAACAAAUGAAUAGGAACUAGAUCAUUGAGAAGAAGAGAAUAGAGAAGAAAAUGACAAUUUUCACCACAAUUGAAUUUGAGAAGCAUCUUACAAGAAGGAUAGAACGGAGUUGUUGGAAAACAAAAACGAAAAGAACAAGCUUGUUGUGGACUUAUGAAAAACAUCUCAAAUAAUGAGUUGACAACCGACCACUAAGAGAAACAAAGAUAGCUUGGGAGCAAAACAUGCAAACCAUCUUAUACCAAGAGGAUACAUUGAGCACUUGGAUCAAGAUAAUCACCAUAAUAGCAACAAUCCUUAGACAUAGCUUUGGAUGAAAUCUAAACCCAGAUAACUCAAUGAAGAAACCCUGGCUUAAAAUAUCUCAUGAUCAAAGGAUUAGGUGGGGUUAGUUAUCUCAUUCUUGAAACAACUUCCCUUCGAGACUCUUCCACUAACAAGAAUGCUAUAACACCACCUCAAAGGAAAAUGGAGGAAGAAUUGCACUUUGAAAUACAAGAUACGAACACUUAGGUACUACCAAAAGAAUCUUGAAGACACUUUGAGAAUUAAUUGAAAAAUUGAAGGACCAUCAUGAAAACCACUUGAAGAACACUAGAAUGAAAGGAUGAAAGAAUAAGAUUAAAGGCCUUACAAUGAUUUAGAUGAAGAUUCAUGAAGAGAUGUUUGAGAAAACUUGGAACUCCGGAAAAAUGAGAUGAACAACAUUGAAUGGAAAAUUGAUAUCAUGAGCCACUACAGAAGAAGAACUGAAAUCACCUUGAUGAAACAAAAGAAUGAUAAUUAUGUUAUGCUCAUCCUUCAUCAAGUUAAAUUGGUGACAAGCAACGGAUUUGGCAUAUCACUUAUUCUUCUUGAAAAAAAACUUAAAGAGGGAGAUAGAUAAGGCAUCACUUGAAGAACUCUUGAAAGAAACACCAGUAUGAAUUUGGAAUGAAAGAGGAUACUACAAAUGAACUGGGGUGCAUGAGAACAAAAGAGAAAGAUUUGAUUAGAGAAUGCUUGAACAAGGCACACAGGGGAUAGGUUCACAAAUGAAUGAGGAUGACCAAGAAUGAAUGGAGAUASARKAAAACAAGGAGAUMAGUCUAAGAGUAACUUACCUUNNNNNNNNNNNNNNNNNNNNNNNNNNNNNNNNNNNNNNNNNNNNNNNNNNNNNNNNNNNNNNNNNNNNNNNNNNNNNNNNNNNNNNNNNNNNNNNNNNNNAGUUCAAAAUAAUUUGUAGCAAAUACCUUGAAAACCUAUUCUGUCUGUUUUGACCUUUUGAANAUUUCCAAGGAACAGUUUCAAUAAUUCCUGAAAAUUCUAGCAUGNUUCCCAAGUUAUAUUUGUGGUCAUGCCAAGUUUCACCUUAUUCCAAGGUUCUUUGGUUCACCAAAUAUUCCUAUGACCUUCCGUUUCCAGAAUUAAGUUGAAGCAACUCUACAUAGAAAAGUUUGUCCAAAUGGCCUAAAGCUUUGCACGAGUGAUCAACACCCCAAAUGAAGAGACCCUGCCAAAAAAAUAGAUUUGUGGUAUUAAUUUAGCCACAUUCUCUUUUAAAGGACAGAACUGCCCAUUUGGGGGAUUUCAAGUUUGCAUUGUCAACCUUGUCCAAUGGCGCUCAAAUUUGGUGGAGCAUCCUACUUUGUAUUAAACCCAAUCAUGUUAACUUUCAACAUGAGUGGUGGAGGUUAACUACCCCAAACACAUAUCAAUCACCUUCWGCCUGGAUGGUCAAACAACACUUAACACCCUCUACACCCACUCCCUUUCCACUAAACUCUUAGUGCAAGCUGCCAGCACCACUCCUCAACUGCAGACGAGUCGGCCCCUCUAUGGUUCCGAGCAGGUGAGUCAAAAUCCCCUAAUUUAGUUCUGAAUCAAGCCUGACAGCUCCUCUUCAAGCCUACUUCCUUUGACCAGCCAGUCGACGACCCUCGGCCUACCCGAACGGACGUAAACGGGCUACGUACCUACGACCCCGAACCCGACACGUACACGACGACGGAACCAACGCCAACCGACGACGACCGACCGACCNNNNNNNNNNNNNNNNNNNNNNNNNNNNNNNNNNNNNNNNNNNNNNNNNNNNNNNNNNNNNNNNNNNNNNNNNNNNNNNNNNNNNNNNNNNNNNNNNNNNAGCUCCUCCCACGGCCGGUCUACCCCCUGCCUCCCCUCGUGUGCGAGCAGGAGGAAGGAGAAGACCUGGCAGGCGGGGGCCCCUGUCAGCGAGCCAAGGCCAGGCCCACGCGGAAUAAGUGGAGGCGCCCCUCUCAGAUUCCGCUUCCGCGUGGAGAAAGCGCCCCCGGGAAAGGCGCCUUCGGCGUGGCCACCUUGUGCCUCCAUGCCGAGCCGCCGGGCCGGCCCACCUCUUUCUCUAGCGCCCAGUGCGCAUGAUAGCUAAGUCUGCAGGCCCAUUUUUCCCUUUUUCAUUUAUCUGCAAUCUUCUAAAUUCCACCAUAAAAUCAUUCUAACUCCAAAUCACUUGGUUCAAAUUUCUGCAGGAUCCUAAAAAUGAGGCCUAUCCAAAUAAGUGCUUUGCACAUUUUUCCUUCCCAACUUUCUGUGGUGUUUUAUUUAAAAUCCCAAUCUGGAUAUAAAAUAUCCCACCUUUCAAAAUUCCUAGCAGAUUCAAAUCAACUCCAAAUGGAGUGAUUCAAACUCCCAGAGCCUUCUAAAAUCCUUCUCUAUUUUUACAACCAUGGUCAACAUUUUUGUGUGACUUACUUCUGUUGCAAUAAAUAAAUAGCUCCUAUUGCUAUUUGUUCCUCAUUGUAAAAUCUCUAGAAUAUUCAUACCAUCUCCAAAUCCAGUGAAACCACUUCCUAAAUAUUUCUAAAAUCAUUCUCUGUUAAAUGGGUGCCUCCACUCAUUUUUAACAGAAUGAUUUCUGUUGGCUUAUUCAAUGGCCACCUAUUGCUCCUUUCUCCUAUUCAAAAAUCCUUGAUGAUUCAAAUCUCCAGUGAGAAGCUUCUGGUAUUUUUCUUAUGACGAGAGAGGUCCAAGAAAAAUAAAACUUCUAUUUAUAGAACACUUUUAUUCUGCUGGAUGUGUGGCUUACGGUGGUUAUUUUCCGACGUUAGUUGACGGUAGACGGAGUAUUAGGGGACGGAACGGAAGACCUCGAAGACCCGAGGACUUACAUGAGCAAGGCAACGMGGCCCUAKGACCAUGACUUGAGCAUGCACAUUGAUGCAUGCUAGAAUAGCAAGUACUUUUCCGUUGCAUGUGAUCACAGUGCCGGUUCAUCAUUGGUGUGAUGGUACCGAAGGCUUCUUCAAAGCACUUGCGUGAUAGUGAUGUUAUACAUAUGGCUCCUCGGAGCACAAGCAUGAUGAGCUUGACCCUACCAUCUAUGAGGAUAAUGCUACUGUCAUGUUGACUAGUAGAGUAAGAUCAUUGCAUUGAGCUUAACCCUACCCCUUGAGGGUCAUGUUAAUACCAUGUUGACAAGUAAAGUAAAAGCCAUUUUACCAUGAGCAUGAUGAUGAGUUAAAUAAAAGAGUUUAUGAAAACCCCGUCGGGUGCCACUAAUGCCCGAGGGUGAUGAUGAGUUGGUGAUCACUUUUGGUGAAGUGAUGCACCGGUGUUUUUGUGUGAGUAUGGUUUCGGUAAUGGGAUUAGAUUUAUGAUGUGUCGACCGUCCCAACCUUACCUGUACGACCACGUUACCCCUUUAUGGGAUGGGGCUUUGUUGAUUACUCUGGUCGGUACUAGCAAAGAGCCACAUUACUAGUGGCGGGAGUGAUCGUUGUCACUCUCGUGAUGGGGUCAUGCCAGGUAGGACGACUAUGCCAUUAUUAUGAGUUCCAGGCACACCGUUGGUCCCCCGCAUGGUUGAUACUGUCCAGAGUCGGUGCUCGUAAGACGUACAACAUGUGGGCUGGGUACCAAUCGAGUGGACCUCUUUGUCUAGUAUCGUCGGGGGAAAGAUGAUGAUCGGGUACUUACCUCGGGUAUAUGUGAUACACCGCGAGUCGUGGAUGACACGGAAGUUUCCCGUUUCUCGUGGGUCCAGCGUACUACCUCUGCAGAGUGUCAAACUAUUCGAAUAGCCGUGUCCAGGGUCAAGGACAGUUGGGUGGUGCUGCUUAAACUACGUCCAGCGUUUCCGCAUAAACCAAGUGUGUGUGUGUGGUGUUAAAAAGGUAGUUGUUAUGAGAGUAAUAAUAUGACCAAGUUNNNNNNNNNNNNNNNNNNNNNNNNNNNNNNNNNNNNNNNNNNNNNNNNNNNNNNNNNNNNNNNNNNNNNNNNNNNNNNNNNNNNNNNNNNNNNNNNNNNNGGUCUUCCCGGGUCGGGUUGCCCCCCCCCCYCCGGUCCGAACCYCCGGAACCCACUUCGUCAUUCCCGGUACAUUCCCGGUAACUCCGAAAACCUUCCGGUAAUCAAAUGAGGUCAUCCUAUAUAUCAAUCUUCGUUUCCGGACCAUUCCGGAAACCCUCGUGACGUCCGUGAUCUCAUCCGGGACUCCGAACAACAUUCGGUAAYCAACCAUAUAACUCAAAUACGCAUAAAACAACGUCGAACCUUAAGUGUGCAGACCCUGCGGGUUCGAGAACUAUGUAGACAUGAUCCGAGAGACUCCUCGGUCAAUAUCCAAUAGCGGGACCUGGAUGCCCAUAUUGGAUCCUACAUAUUCUACGAAGAUCUUAUCGUUUGAACCUCAGUGCCAAGGAUUCAUAUAAUCCCGUAUGUCAUUCCCUUUGUCCUUCGGUAUGUUACUUGCCCGAGAUUCGAUCGUUAGUAUCCGCAUACGUAUUUCAAUCUCGUUUGCUGGCAAGUCUCUUUACUCGUUCCGUAAUACAAGAUCCCGCAACUUACAUUAAGUUACAUUGCUUGCAAGGCUUGUGUGUGAUGUUGUAUUACCGAGUGGGCCCCGAGAUACCUCUCCGUCACACGGAGUGACAAAUCCCAGUCUCGAUCUAUACUAACUCAACGAACACCUUCGGAGAUACCUGUAGAGCAUCUUUAUAGUCACCCAGUUAUGUUGCGACGNNNNNNNNNNNNNNNNNNNNNNNNNNNNNNNNNNNNNNNNNNNNNNNNNNNNNNNNNNNNNNNNNNNNNNNNNNNNNNNNNNNNNNNNNNNNNNNNNNNNCUGUUUUUUUUCUUUCUUAGUUAGUAUAAAAGUACUUUAGUGUUUUAGUUCUUCGAUUUUUGUCUUUGUUGUNACCCCGGAMUGUAUUCGAGCUCGUGAGCCAUAUAUAAAGAGUGUCUUAGUUGAAGGGCGUUUGCCUCUUGCCAUGAUCAAAAGAAGUAGAGAAAAGAACAAAAGCAUGAAAGAUCAUGUAAUGAUCUUAUGGGAAGUGAUGGCUUCACAUAUAAAAAGAAUGAUGAUUGAAACUUGCUGAGGGUAGACAAACAUAGACCUUGGUCAUUGUUGCAAUUAAUAGGAAGUGAUAAAGAAGUAGCGGUUCACAUAUAAAUACAUCAUCUUUGACACCAUCUAUGAUUGUGAACACUCACUAAACUAUUGCAUGCUUAGAAGUAGAUGUUGGACAAGGAAGACAACAUAAUGAAUUGUGUUUGCUUGGUUCUGAGCAAUGUUAUUUGAUUGGAGAUCCCUUAGCAUGUGACGAUUGCUUCCACCUCAUAUUAGUCAAAACCUCCCACACUAAGUGGAGAUACUACUUGUGCAUCCAUAAACCUUCAACCCAGUUUUGCCAUGAGAGUCCACCAUACCUACCUAUGGAUUGAAUAAGAUCCCUCAAGUAAGUUGUCAUCGGUGAAAGUAAUAAAAAUUUCUCCCUAAUAUGUAUGAUCUAUUAGUGUGUGGAAAAUAAUCUUUGUAUGAACCUGUGAUGAGGAAGACAUAAAAGCGACAGACUACAUAAUAAAGUUCUUUAUCACACGAGGCAAUAUAAAGUGACAUUCCUCCGCACUAAGAGGACACGCAUCCAAACCUCAAAAGCGCAUGACAACCUCUGCUUCCCUCUACGAAGGGCGUAUCUUGUAUCUUUACUUUUUUCCCUUGAAAGAGUCAUGGUGAUCUUCACCAAUUCCUUGUUUCUCCUUUAUCUUCGCCAACGUCAUAUGCUUGGGAAAGAUCUAUAUUCAUAUGUCAACUUGGAAGUAAGUAUUCAUGAAUUAUUGUCGUUGACAUUACCCUUGAGGUAAAUGGUUGGGAGGCAAAACUAUAAGCCCCUAUCUUUCUCUGUGUCCAGCUAAAACUUUGAUCUCAUGAGUACCACGUGAGUUGUAGCAAUUGUAGAGAACGAAAAGAUGAUUGAGUAUGUGGAUUUGCUCUACAAGUUCUUAUUUGAUUCUUUCUAAUGUUGUGAUAAAUUGCAAUUGCUUCAAUGACUAAAGGCUAUCGGUUGUUACUUAUCGGUAAGAUUCUUGAUCCAUUACUUUUACUUUGUGAAUUAAUUGUCUACUUUAGCAUGAGAGGUUAUAUGUUGGUAUUGUUGUUCUGNNNNNNNNNNNNNNNNNNNNNNNNNNNNNNNNNNNNNNNNNNNNNNNNNNNNNNNNNNNNNNNNNNNNNNNNNNNNNNNNNNNNNNNNNNNNNNNNNNNNUUAAUAGUUUCUAAUUUCUAUUNUGAAAGUAGACUUUGUAGUUGUAUCUUUUGUAUGUCUGGUUGUAUAUUCCUUUUCCCUAGGCUGUCGUAAUGUUUCAAAAAAUUUGAGGUACCAGAAGUAUACGAAGUAUACAUAUUGCUACAGAGUGGUCUGUUUUUGACAGAUUCUUUUUUGUUGAGUUGGUUGCUUGUUUUGAUGAAACUAUGGAUAGUAUCGGGGGGUACUAGCCAUGGAAAAGUGAGAAUACAGUAAUCUAACACCAAUAUAAAUAGAAAUCAAGAUUUCUACAGUACCUAAAGAGGUGGUAGUUUGUUUUCUUGUGCUAAUGAUAUCACGAGUUUCUGUUUAAGUUUUGUGUUGUGAAGUUUUCAAGUUUUGGGUGAUGUUCUCAUGGACAAAGGGAUAAAGAGUGGAAAGAUCUCAAGCUUGGGGAUUCCCAAGGCAUCCCAAGCUGAAUUCAAGGACAGCAAAAAUCCUAAGCUUGGGGAUGCCCUGGGAAGGCAUCCCCUCUUUCGUCUUCAAUCCAUCGGUAACAUUACUUGGAGCUAUAUUUUUAUUCACCACAUGAUAUGUGUUUUGCUUGGAGCAUCUUGUAACGUAGGAGUCUUUUCUUUUAGUUGUGUCACAAUCAUCCUUGCUACACACCUUUUGAGAGUGACAUGCACUCAUCGUGAAAUUGCUAGAAUACUCUUUGUGCUUCACUUAUAUCUUUUGAGCUAGACAAUUUUGCUCUAUGUGCUUCACUUAGAUCUUUUAGAGCACGGCGGUGCGUAACUUGGAAGUUGGCUUGUUCUAUGAAAGUAGUCCCAAAGAUGAAAGGUACCCAAAGAGGAUACAAUAAAACCUCCCUAUCCCCUGUGUGCCUUGAGUAGAAAGAGAAGUUUUGAUUCCUCUCAAUUAGUUUUGAGACGUGGAUUUGGUAAUAUUAAGAGUUAGGUUAGUAGGGUGUUGUGAAUCUAGAAAUACUUGUGUUGAAGUCAGUGAUUCCUUUAACAUGCACAUAUGGUGAACCGCUAUGUUAGGAAGUCGGAGCAUAAUUGAUCUAUUGAUUGUCAUCCUUUGUGUUGUUGUCGGGAUCGCGCGAUGGUUUACACCUACCAACCCUUCCCCUAGGAGUAUGCGUUUAGCACUUUGUUUCAAUUACUAAUAAUAACUUUCGCAAUAAGUAUGUGAGUUCUUCAUGACUAAUGUGAGUCCAUGGUACAGAUGCACUUUCACCUUCCACAAUUGCUAGCCUCUCUAGUACCGCGCAAUUUUCGUCGGUGCACAAACCCACCAUAUGCCUUCCUCAAAACAGCCACCAUACCUACCUACUAUGGCAUUUUCAGAGCCAUUCCGAGAUAUAUUGCCAUGCAACUCCCACCGUUCCGUCUCAUGAUUUGUGCUGUCACUCUCAUAUUGCCAUUGCAUGAUUGUAAGAUAGCUAGCGAGAUGUUUCAACGUCAUACGCCAAGCUAGAUCAUUGCACAUCCCGAUACACUGCCGGAGGCAUUUCCUAUGGAGUCAUCAUUGUUCUAAGCUUUGAGCUAUGAGUAAAUAAAAGUGUGAUGAUCAUCAUUAUUAGAGCAUUGUCCCAUAUGAGGAAAUAAAAAAAAUAGGCCAAAGUUGCCCACAUAAAAAAAGACAGAUAUGGAAAGAGGCCAAAGAGCCCAAACAAAAAAAGAGAGAAAAAGAGAGAAGGGACAAUGCUACUAUCUUUUCCACACUUGUGCUUCAUAAUAGCACCAUGUUCUUCAUGAUUGAGACCCUCUCGUUUUGUCACCACCAUAUACUAGUGGGAAUCUUUAUUAUAUAACUUGGCUUGUAUAUUCCAAUGACGGGCUUCCUCAAAAUUGCCCUAGGUCUUCGUGAGCAAGCAAGUUGGACACACACCCACUAGUUCUCCUUUGAGCUUUCACAUACUUAUAGCUCUAGUGCAUCCGUUGUAUGGCAAUGCCUACUUAUUCACUUUGAUAUCUAUUAAUGGGCAUAUCCAUAGCCCUUUGAUACGCCGAGUCAAUGUGACCAUCUCCUCCUUUUUGUCUCACAACCACCACCACACUCUAUUCCACCUAUAGUGUUAUAUCCAUGGCUCACGCUCAUGUAUUGCGUGAGAGUUGAAAAAGGUUUGAGAAAGUAAGUGUGCAAAAACAACUACUUGGCCAAUACCGGGGUUGUGCAUGAUUUAAAUUAGUUGUGUGGGGAUGAUGGAGCAUAGCCAGACUAUAUGAUUUUGUAGGGAUAACUUUCGUUGGCCCUGUUAUUUCGAAAGUUCAUGAUUACCUUGCUAGUUUGCUUGAAGUAUUAUUGUUUUCAUGCCAAUAGCAAACUAUUGUUUUGAAUCUUACGGAUCUGAACAUUCAUGUCACAUGAAAGAAGUUGCAAAGGAAAACUAUGCUAGGUAGCAUUCCACAUCAAAAAUUCAGUCUUUAUCACUUCCUUAUUCGAGGACGAGCAUGAGUUAAGCUUGGGGAUGCUUGAUACGUCUUCAAUGUAUCUAUAAUUUUUGAUGGUUCCAUGCUAUUAUCUUGUCAAACUUUGGAUGUUUUGUAUGCCUUUUAUAUCUUUUUUGGGACUAACUUAUUAACUCAAUGCCAAGUGCCAGUUCCUGUUUUUUCCGUGUUUUUGACCCUUUUAAGAGGAGGUAUUUUAAACCGUGUCCAAACGGAAUAAAACUUCCGAAAAGAUUUUUUUCCGGAACAGAAGAUACGCACUAGACUUGAGAACCAAGGCAGAUGCCACCGACGGGACCCCACAAGCCCCCUAGGCGCGGCCAGGGGGGCCCGCACCUAGCAGGCUUGUGGGCCCUCUAUGGCUCGUCUGCCCUACCUCUUCCGYCUAAAAAUUCCUGCAAAAUCGAAAACUGCGCGACAGAUCCACGAAAAUACUUUUCCACCGCCGUAAGCUUCUGUCUCCGCAACGAUCCCAUCUGGGSSACGUUCUGGUGCCCUGCCGGAGGGGGRRUUCGGAGAUGGAGGGAUUCUUCAAUAACACCAUGACCUCUUCGAUAAUGCGUGAGUAGUUCACCUUAGACCUUCGGGUCCAUAGCUAGUAGCAAGAUGGCUUCUUCUCUCUCUUGGAUCUUCAAUACAAAGUUCUCCAUGGUCUUCAUGGAGAUUUAUACGAUGUAAUCUUAUUUUGCGGUGUGUUUGUCGAGAUCUGAUGAAUUGUGGAUUUAUAAUCAGAUUAUCUAUGAAUCUUAUUUGAGUUUCUUCUGAUCUCUUAUAUGCAUGAUUUCAUAUCCUUGUAAUUCUCUUCGAGUUGUGGGUUUUGUUUGGUCCAAUUUGAUCUAUGAUUCUGGCAAUGGGAGAAGUGCUUGGUUUUGGGUUCAUAUCAUGCGGUGACCUCACCAAGUGAUAGAAGGGGUAGCGAGGCACUCAUCGUGUUGUUGCCAUCAAGGGUAAAAAGAUGGGGUUUACAUCAUUGGUUUGAUUUUAUUCCUCUACAUCAUGUCAUAUUGCUAAAGGCGUUACUCUGUUCGUCCUGAACUCAAUACACUAGAUGCAUGCUGGAUAGCGGUCGAUGUGUGGAGUAAUAGUAGUAGAUGCAGACAGUAUCGGUCUACUUGUCUCGGACGUGAUGCUUAUAUGUAUGAUCAUUGCCUUAGAUAUCGUCAUGACUUUGCGCGGUUCUAUCAAUUGCUCGACAGUAAUUUUUCACCCACCGUAAUAUUUUCUAUUUUGGGAGAAGCCUCUAGUGAACACUAUGGCCCCGGGUCUACUUCACACCAUAUUUUCAGUGUUUCACUUUUACUUGGUUGCACUUUCCGCCUUCAGAUCUCACUUUGCAAUCAAUCUUGAAGGGAUUGACAACACCUUUAUAGCGUUGGGUGCAAGCUCGUUUGUGUUUUGCACGUACUCUGGACUUGACCUUGAUUCUCCUACUGGAUUGGUACCUUGGUUCUCAAACUGAGGGAAAUACUUACUGCACUUGUGCUGCAUCACCAUUUCCUCUUCAAGGGAAAAACCAACGCAAGCUCAAGAGGCAGCAGUUCCCUCCUAUGUCCGACGGGGCCAAGCACGGGCUCGUCGGGGUGAUGGCCCUACUGGCGGGAACGGGUCGAGGGAGGCUCUGGUAAUUUUGCGGCCAUCUGCUACUUCCUGGAGGAGCUACCGACGAUGAGGGAGAUGGCGGGGACGCGGCAACCAACUCUGUUUCUCUGAACUUACUGAAGCUCCACCUCUCUGAACUUACUUAGCACAGGGAGAAGAAGGAGGGAAUAGGAGAUGGCGGCAGUGAGGAGGAAGAGCACGCAACCCUAGGCCACAACGGCUCCGAGAUAGCCCCAUCCCCACGCUUCUGGCCGUGUGAUGCUGGCUGGAGAUCAUCAGUGGUGGACGAGAGGAUCGUACAGAGGGUGACGUGUGCGAGGAGGAAGAUGGUCAUGGGGUGGCUGCUCGGAGGGGUACUCGGCCCUGGGCCUCUCUCACUCUCUCUCAAAGAAAUAACACUGGGCUGAACCUUUUAAAUAUAAGCCACAAGUUUUGGAUUAAAGGCCAGAGUAGGAAAAAAUAGAAAAAGAAUGAAUACAAAAAUAAAAAUUAAGCCUCUGAGAUGUUCCUCCUAUUUAUAAAAAUAGGUGGGGCAUUUUAGAGUAACUAAUAAUAACAUGUUUAUUUGAAUGUGGCCCUGUUUUAAAAGAAAACAAAAAGAAAAAUAAAUUCAAAUAAGUGUGUGUUGCCACCCACAAUUAUUUUAAAUGGUUUUCAAAUAUGUUGAACAUUUUUAAAAGGCCAAAACAAAAACUUCAAAUCUGCCUAAGGUAUUUGAAAAGAAAGUGGUUUUUGGUCCAUGGUGCAAGUAUGUUUUUGAAGGGCUCUUGUUGCACCCACACCACACUUUGCAAGAUCAUUCCAACACAUAUGCAAUCACACGCACCACCAAAGUUGUCACCACCAUAUAAGAAUCAAACAAGAAACAAAAGGAAUAAGACAUGCAUGAUGCAUGAUGCACAUGAAAUGACAACAUCACCAAGUCUCUCACCCAUCCACAUUGCAUCACAAGGUUUCCAAACAUGGAAAUGAGUACAAAGUGGGAAGGAAAAGCAUUGGGGCUGUCACAACUCUCCCACACUAUAAGAGGAUCUCGACCCGAGAUCUAUGACUGGAAGAACUCCGGGUACUCGGAACGGAGGUGGUCUUCGCGCUCCCAAGUGGCUUCUUUGUCUAAGUGAUGUGACCAUUGAACUUUGAGGAACUUGAUUGACUUAUUGUGGGUCUUGCGCUCAGUCUAUUCAAGUAUUGUUAUGAGAUGCUCAUGGUACGAUAGAUAGGGCUGGAGGUCGAUAUACUGGAGAUCAACUGUGCGCCCGGGAGUCUUGAAGCAUCCCCGGAGCUGAGAGACGUGAAACACAUCAUGCACAUUGGAGAAGUUGGAUGGAAGCUCUAACUGAUAAGCAAGAUCGCUUCUCCUGCCAACAAUUAUGAAAGGACGACCAAAGCGACGAGCGAGCUUUCCUUUGAUGCCAAAGUGUUGAGUGCCCUUCAUGGGAGACACUUUCAGAUACACAAAAUCAUUGAGCUGAGAAGUCAUGUCACGAUGCUUGCUACCGUAGUAGCUCUUCUUACGGGACUGAGCUGCUUUGAGAUUAUCUCGAAUGUCACGACAUAUUUCUUCUACUUCAGCAAUAAUGCCAUUUCCAAGGAUCUGACACUCACCAGUCUCUGACCAAUUGAGCGUGGUACGUCACUUCCUUCCAUAUAGAAUCUUGAAUGGGGCCUUGCCUCAGCUUGCUUGAAAGCUUUUGUUGCACGAGAACUCGGAAAAUGGUAGGCAAUCUUCCCACUUCAUGCCAAAAGAAUCACACAAGCUCUGAGCAUAUCUUCAAGGAUCUCACUCUCUCAACUUUCCCACUUGUCUAAGAUGGAAAGCUAUGUUGAAACGGAUCUUAGUACCCGUCGCAGACUGAAAGGAAUCCAAGAACUUGGAAGUAAAUAUGCUUCCACAAUCUAAAGGAAUGAGCAUAUGAACACCAUGCAAUGAGACUAUCCUUGACGUAUACAACUCUGCCAGCUAAGCUGCCGAGAUAGACUCUUUGACCAGUAGGAAAUGAGCAACUUUGGUCAACUUGUCGAUGACGACGAUGUAACACCCCAGUUUUUGGCUUUCGUGACUAACUAACUUAUUUCAAAAUUUAGGACCAAUUAAAAAUUUUGUGAAUGCUUGUGAUGCUUAGAGUGACUAUUGUUUGUCUGUUUGUUUUGCAUGUGAUUGAUCCCCAUUAAUUCUUGCCAUUCUCCUAAUCACAUCGUCAUUCCAUGAUCUCCUGCCUAAUGAUCAUGCCAUGUGUUUAGAACAAAUAUCUACUUUUUACCAAAUAUUAUUUUCACCAAAAAGCAUUUUCUUUGGGUUAAACUUUCAAAACCUUGAGAUGAGGUUUGUACUACAAGCCCUCAAAUUAGGGAAUUUAUUUUGCAUCAAUUAUUUUAUUUCAAACCCAUUAUCAAAGUGUCUUCCAAAAACCACCAUAUUAUUAUUUUAAAAGUUAUUUUAUUAUUUUAUUUAAAAGCCCUUCUAUGAGGCCAGAAAUGGUCUCCUAUGAAGGAAAGUUAUUUUUGUUGCCUUCAAAAUAUUUCAGAAAAUUUAGGAAAACUGAGUGGAUAUAUUUAUUCCAUAUUUAUGAGUUUCAACACAUGGUCAUGUUCAAAAUAUUGGGCAAACCCCUCCAAAACCAUUCCUGCCUAUUUCAAGCUUUUGGAAUAUUUUUAUAAGAAAUAUUCUCAAUAAAUUCCAGUAAAAUUCUAGCAUGUCAUCUAUGAUACUAUGGAUGAUCUUGCCAAGUUUCAUUUCAAUCCAAGUUGAUUUGACUCCCCUAAUCACUCUAAAACCCUAUCUGUCCAGAAUCAAAUUUGAGCAACUCUACAUUGUGAAGUGUGUCCAAUUGUGCUCAAAUUUGGUGGACAUGUUCCAGUACUCCAAUGAGGCAUCCACACCAAGUGGUACACCAAGGAGAAUAUAGGAACUUGUCCUAAGACCAUCAAAACCCUCUCUGUUGAUUUCUGACUUUGGUAAACUUUACAUUAUAAAGUUUCUCCAAUUAUCCUCAAACUUUUUGUGCAUGCCUUAAUGCUCAAAUAAUGCCCCUACACAAAAUAUUGGAUUUGUGGGAAUUCAUUUGAAUAGGGUUCUAAGCAGAAACCCAUUUCUGCCCAUUUCUAGGGCUUUUCAAGUCUACAUUGGAAAACUUCUCCAGCAAAUCCCAAAUUUGGUGUGCAAGCCUAUUUUCAUAUAUUAUUUGACCCUAUUAAGUUUCAUAGCCAUUGGAAUUCAUCUGGUGGCCCAACCACAGAUCAAACACCUUGUGUGCACUCAUAAUUUGGUUUCUUUUGCCCCUUCCACUUUUACCCUUGAGCUCAACUUUCUACCAGAGCCUCACAUAGUUACAUUUCACCUCCAGUAAUUUUCCCAUGACCACUAGUCAAUUAUUUGGAAGGACCCUUUAUAAGUUUCUCUCAUUUUCACCCUUGGCAGCACUGUUUUACCCUUCUUUCCAUUAUUCUGCUUAAGCUAUCACCCCCAACUCUUUCCAGAGCAUCCAUUAUAUUCCAAGUCUUCAUUUCGAACCAAGAUAUGGCAUGCUCAUGUGGAGAAAAUGAGCAGCACCUCCUCAAGUUCAUUUCUGGCUGUAUCAUGGCUUUGAACAGCAAGUAGUAUCUACCCUCAUUUGUUUGAACUCAAACUUUGUAGUAUUGAAGUCCUUCCAUGCCUAGCACUGCUAGACAUAAUUUCUCUCCAAGGAUCCCCACCUAAGACCCCCUGUUGUCAGCUCUAUGUUUGCUGUUAGGAACUUUGCAGCAGUCAAGGCUAGUUCAAACCGACUCCACUAGUUGCCAAACUCCAGCGUUUCCUUUCUGCAUGUAUGCCUUCCAUGCUGGACAGGUUUCACUGCCAUUGCAAACCUGUGGGCAUGGGUGGCCGUGGUGACCACCACCCUGACCUGCAAACUGGGUGCUCUGCACCUAGUUUCUCCCCUCCCGACCGUUUCUUGGCGAGGCAGGUUGUCUCAGUGUGUCUCAGAGCAUCCUUUGACCGUUCCAAGCCACUCCCAAUCACUAGCUACCCUCCAAACCCCCUCAGGCAUGCGUGGCAUCCAUGCACCAGAGAGCUCCAACGGCUCCUGGGCUUUCUCUCCUUCCCCCCUCCCCAUAUGGCUCCCUUCCGAGCUCCCUAAGCCUCCAGAACCUCUCCCUCUCUCUUUGGAACCACCCUAGAGCCCUGCUCUCUCUCCAAGCCUCCUCCUCCCUUUGCCUAUCCAUGGACGAAGCCACCAGAGGCCGCCGCGCGAGCAUGGCUAACCAGGGUGGUCACCACUCGCCCCCUGGGCCCUCCGGAGAACCACCUCGUCGUCGGGCCUCCUCCCCAACUACUCUUCCUCCCUUCCUUCACCCCUGGUACUGGCACCAGAGGAGGCCGGCGGUCUCCCUGCAACCACGGCGUCGGCACCCUUGCGGCCCUCCCCUAUAGGCGCCGGGCAGGGGAACGGAGGCGGCUAACUCCCCCGAGCACGUCGGUGGAAGGCACACAGGGGAUAGGUGCCCACAGCCGCCUGGGGAAGCUCCUCCCGCGCCCGGUCCUACCCCCCCUACCUCCCCUAUGUGCAAGUAGGAGGAAGGAGAAGACCUGGGAAGGGCGGGGGGCCCUGUCAUCGAGCCAAGGCCAGGCCCACGUGGAAUAAGUGGAGGCGCCACUCUCAGACUUCCGCUUCCACAGUAGGGGAAAGUCGGACCCCCGGGAAAGGCCGCCGUUCGGCGUGGCCACCGUUGUCGCCUCCGAGGCCGAGCCGCGUCGGGNNNNNNNNNNNNNNNNNNNNNNNNNNNNNNNNNNNNNNNNNNNNNNNNNNNNNNNNNNNNNNNNNNNNNNNNNNNNNNNNNNNNNNNNNNNNNNNNNNNNUUACUAAUAGAUUAGUAUGUAAGAAGUCUAUGAAGAGAANAGUUUGUAGAAAACUUAGGUAAACUCCGGAAAAACGUAAGAGAAUGAACAACAAUUGAAUGGAAAAUUAGAUAUCAUGAGCCACUACAGAAGAAGAAYUGAAAUCACCUUGAUGAAACAAAAGAAUGAUAAUUAUGUUAUGCUCAUCCUUCAUCAAGUUAAAUUGGUGACAAGCAACGGAUUUGGCAUAUCACUUAUUCUUCUUGAAAAAAAACUUAAAGAGGGAGAUAGAUAAGGCAUCACUUGAAGAACUCUUGAAAGAAACACCAGUAUGAAUUUGGAAUGAAAGAGGAUACUACAAAUGAACUGGGGUGCAUGAGAACAAAAGAGAAAGAUUUGAUUAGAGAAUGCUUGAACAAGGCACCGGUAAGAAGUUCACAAAUGAAUGAGGAUGCCAAGAAUGAAUGGAGAUACAAGAGAACAAGGAGAUCAUGAUCCUCUUGAGAGAAAACUUGAACAAGGCACACAGGGGAUAGGUGAGAGACGAACGAAGAGAUAACAAUUGAGAAGAAUGAUGAACUGAAACCUAGUGAAAAUACUUCACAAUGAAUCAUUGGUUACGAUAUAGAAUAAAAAAAAUACCAAAGCAACAAUGAACAAAAAGGCACUUAGUAGAAAAUUGAAUCAUUGAAUAGAAGGGUGGGAGGGCAGGGAAAAACAAAGACAACUUGGGAUAGAUGAGACAAACUCUGGAAAGAAAUGAGAGAUUGAUAUAGCAACAUUGAGAGGUUUGAAUUGACUUGAAGAGAAGCACUUCGGAUUAAAAGAACUGACAUGACGACUCCGGUUGAAAAGAAUUGAUAAGACAAUUUCAAUGAGCAAAAGAAUUUGCACUCUCAUAUAAAGUAUGAGAACACCUCUUGGAAUAAUNNNNNNNNNNNNNNNNNNNNNNNNNNNNNNNNNNNNNNNNNNNNNNNNNNNNNNNNNNNNNNNNNNNNNNNNNNNNNNNNNNNNNNNNNNNNNNNNNNNNAAAAAAAAAAAUAAAACGUGGAAAAAUUGGGGUACGUGGGAAUCGAACCCAAUACCUCCUGGUUGCAAACAUGAUAAGCUAACUAGUAGAACUAGUGAUUGAAUCUGUUCAAUAGACACACCAAAGACUAGCUGAACUAGGAGCGGCCGGUGUUGGCUUACAGAACAACAGGAAAAAGGAAAACAAAAUAGCAGUAGGACUAGUGACUGAAUCUGUUCAAUAGACACACCAAAUCUAGCUGAACUAGGAGCGGCCAGUGUUGGCUUAAAGAACAACAGAAAAAAGGCAAAACAAAAUAGGGCUACGUUUAUUAAGAAAUCUGUCCAGAUCUGAACUAACAUGUUUUAUUUUUUGUUAAAUAGUAGAAUAAAUAUGUUUACGUGAUUCUACGCAUCAUUCUAGUCGAUUUACAUAUAUCCAUCAUCUCCAACGGAGCUACGGUUAACUAGCUUCGAACAACACAAGAUCAUAUGCUUUUAAUGCAACAUGUAUGCAAUGCGUGUGUGUGCAAAACAAAAGAAAAAUAAACAAGAUCAUAUGCUUUUAAUGCAACAUGUAUGCAAUGCGUGUGUGUACAAAAGAAAAAAUAACUUUUAAUGCAACAUGUAUGCAAUGCGUGUGUGUGCAAAAGAAAAUAAAAUAAACAAGAUCAUAUGCUUUUAAUGCAACAUGUAUGCAAUGCGUGUGUGUGCAAAAAAAAAAAAAAUAAACGUGGAAAAAUUAGGGGUACGUGGGAAUCGAACCCAAUACCUCCUGGUUGCAAACGUGAUAAGCUAACUAGUAGAACUAGUGAUUGAAUCUGUUCAAUAGACACACCAAAUCUAGGUGAACUAGGAGCGGCCGGUGUUGACUUACAGAACAACAGGAAAAAGGCAAAACAAAAUAGCAGUAGGACUAGUGAUUGAAUCUGUUCAAUAGACACACCAAAUCUAGCUGAACUAGGAGCGGCCAGUGUUGGCUUAAAGAACAACAGAAAAAAGGCAAAACAAAAUAGGGGCACCUGGGGUUCGUACCCUAGACACCUCGGAUGGAACAAAGUGGUUCUAUCCAGCUCGGUGUUGACUUACAAAACAACAGGAAAAMGGUCAAAACGAAACRUAGGGAACCAACGUUAAGGNNNNNNNNNNNNNNNNNNNNNNNNNNNNNNNNNNNNNNNNNNNNNNNNNNNNNNNNNNNNNNNNNNNNNNNNNNNNNNNNNNNNNNNNNNNNNNNNNNNNUGGCUCUUCCGAUCGACCGGCCUUCGGACGUCCGUGUGUGGCCAAAAAUCCAAUACCACCCCAACAUAACCAAAUUGUUGGACGUCCGGUCCUUCAGGACGACCAUGCGUCAAACGGUCAACGCCCUUUGGUCAUCCGUACAUUGUGAUACAACCUCCCUCUGCUGCGCUGGCCCGCUCUCUCUAGUGGCCGGUCAUCCGAACCCUCUCGGACGCCCGACCCUUUAUUUUGGUCCACACGACCGGGACCUCUCGGAUAUCUGUCAAGUGCGCAGACUAAGUGACUUGCAAUGGCCAUUCUCUACUACUACUAUAUAUACCCUCUUCCGAGCUUAGAUGUGCGUCGUCCAACUCACCAGAAAUAUUCCAAGAACACUUUUAUCUCUCAAUCUCUCCCCUCCUCACCAAAUCCCAGAUCCCAAGAGAAUUUUGAGGUUUCUUGUGUGUUGUUCCAAUCAAAAUAUAUAUUGUCCCUCUCACCUCCUCUCAACCAAAGCAAUUCAUGAUUUGAGCAAGUCUUGAGUGGUUCCCUUGAUCUUGCUACUCUUGGAGGUUGGAGGCUCCUAGGAGGUAGGACUUCUUCGAAGAGAAAUCAAACCAUUGUGAUUUCCCGUAGAAAGUUUGUGAGGGUUUGGAGGCCACCUCAAGGCCUACCACUAGUGGUCAAGAAACGCCUUUGUGGUGUUGUCUCAAGGAGAGAAUAGGGUGAGCCUUCCUAUCCCCUGUGUGCCUUCGUGGUAACAUUGAGCUCUCUAAACGGUGACGUAGCUUCCCUCCAAGGAAGUGAACACCGAGAUACAUCCUCGUCUCUUAGAGUUGCGGUUAUUCCUAACCCUAUCUCCUUACUUGUGGUUACUUGUCUCCUUACAUGUUUCUUGUUUUCACAUUAAGGUUUGUUUAUCUAUUUAGGUACUUAACUUGUAUAUCAUACUUGUCACAUUAUCACUGGUGCAAUUGUUAGGUUAAAGUUCAUAUUCCACAUGUCACUCACACUAGGACUCUUGUCUAACAAGAUAGUCUCAAAGAAGUCUUAUUGCUCCUUUGUGUUGAAGUGAGCAUCAACUGUAGUUCUCCUCCUGUUAGCAUAUGGGUCAGCUGCUCUCCACUUCUUGAGCCCUUCACCCUUCCUCUCCUUCAUGUUUUCGGUUAUAGGUUGUUCAUCAUUAUGCUCUCGGAGAUGUGGUCUUAGCUUCGUCAGCAUAGCAAUUUCUUCUUCCUUUGCAGUAGCAUCUUUUGAAGUAGAACCCUUGUUCUUCUCAGCUGCAGGUAUACCGCUGGUAGUCCUCUUUGGCUUAGAGGCUGUAGGCUUCUUGGCCUAGGACGCUGGCUUGCUGGGCAUAACAUCUUUCAUCUAGUUUCCUCUCCUUGGAAGGAUAGUGGGUUAGUACGGUUCCUCCACUUCCUCUUCCUCAUCACUAGCUGGAUCUUCACACAUAGWAGUUGGCCUUNNNNNNNNNNNNNNNNNNNNNNNNNNNNNNNNNNNNNNNNNNNNNNNNNNNNNNNNNNNNNNNNNNNNNNNNNNNNNNNNNNNNNNNNNNNNNNNNNNNNGUGUUUGUAUCUCCCUACCUUUCCUUACCUUUACACUUUUAUAUUUUACUUUCUACUUCUAUACUCUUAGAUGUCCAUGUGUAGGGUGUACUUGACUAGUCAUAGCUGCUAAAACUAGGCCCACGCUAAAAAUUGGGAAAAGGCUAAGUAUUUAUCUUGUCAAGUAGUCUAAUCGCCCCCUCUAGACAUACUUUCGAUCCUACAAGUGGUAUCAAAGCUUUGGUCUCCAUUGCAUUGGUUCCACAACCUAGGAGACUAUGGCGUCUAGUGAGGGAAGUUAUCACCAUAGAGGUCCAUGCUUCGAUGGAACUAAUUUUGCUAGUUGGAAGCAUAAGAUGAAAAUGCAUCUUCUUUGCAUUGGUCGUGUUGGUGCGCAAGGUGAUUUCUUCGGAGAAGGCCGAGAACCGGAAUGUGAUGUGACAAAGGAAGAAUUGAACAUGUUGCAAUUCGAUGCACAAGGCUGUGACAUCAUAUUCAACUGCCUAUCGUCCCAAAGAAUUCAACAAAAUCAGCCGCCUUCAGAAUGCAAAGGAAAUUUGGGAUACUUUGAUUGAUAUGCACGAAGGUACCGAUUCUGUUAGAGAAUCUAAGUUGGAUGUACUUCAAAGUCAUCUUGACUAGUUCUAGAUGAAGGAUGGUGAAGGAGUCGCUCAAAUUUCCUCUAGGAUAGCUCUGAUCACAAAUGAUAUUGCCGACUUAGGAAGCGAAGAGAUGACCGACAAAUUCAUCAUCAACAAGAUACUUAGGGCUUUGGAUGGAAGAUAUGACAUUGUGUCCACAUUAAUCCAAAUGAUGCCCAUCUGCAAAGAUCUCAAGUCUAAUGAAGUCAUUGGAAGGAUUGUUGCUCAUCAAAGGUCUCUCAAAGACAAAGAUGAGUUGCAUAACAAGUCCAGCGGUGCUUACAAAGCUUCAGUCAAUUCUCCCGCUACUUCAAGUGACAACUUGUUACCAAUGAAGAGAUAAGCGUCAUGGUAAAAAUAUUCAACAAGUUCUACAAGAGUAGAAGCAAAGAAAGAAGCUCAAGCUCAAGACAUGAUGAGAAGUGUUCGUCUAGUAGUGACGGAAACUGCUAGAACUAUGGCAAGCACGUACACUAAUCCAAUGAGUGCUCAGCUCCCUACAAACAAAGAGAAGAGUCACCUCGAAGAUGAAGCUCAAGAGAUGAGUCACUUCAUAGAGAGAGAAGGAGUAGAGAAGAACAUUAUUAACGAAGACACUCAUGUAGAGGCAAGGAAUCGGAGAAGAAGGACAAAUACACCAAGAGCAGCUCUAGAAGAAGACAUCAAGCUCAUGUUGCUGAAUGGGUUUCUGGCUCCGAGUCUGACAACCAAUCCGAGAGAAGAUAUCACUCCAACUGUGACUAUAGUGAAGAUGAAGGUGUUGCCAACAUUGCAAUUGUUUCCUCCAACUCGUAUGACAUAUUUGCUUCACCAAAUGACGGGAUUGGAAACUACUUCACGGCAGAAGGAACCAAGGUAUCACACCCCGAAUAUUUCGACUUUGAUAGUGAUGAGGAUUACUUGUUAGGAGAAGAUGACUUGCUUCUUCGUAAGACUAGUGAUAAUGCUGAAAAUGAACUAGCUAAUUUUCAUGGUAGUCAAGAGAAAUCGAAUAAUGAUGAUAAGAGAGAAAUUGAACGAACUAACUAAAGAAUUAAAAACUUUUAAGUUAGCUCAUCAAACUACUCAAUAAGAUCAUAGAGAGCUUGCAAUAAAUCAUGAGAAGCUACGCUUCGAGAAGCUAAAUUUAGAACAAGAGCAUGAGUUACUAAAAGCAAUGAAUGAUGAUCUUUGAAAGAAGAGUUCCUCUUAUCUAGCCAAACGAUUAAUCUUGUCUACUUUUGUUCCACAAGUUAAAUCUCAGAACACUAGUAACAAAGGCAAGAAAGUUUCUUCUUCUAGUAACGACAAUGCUAAAGCUAAAUCAAAUGAUAGGCUAGUAGCUCUCUUGAUUCCACUAAUGAUUCUCUUAGCCAAUAUACACUUGAGCAAAAAAAUGAUGUAUUGAAAGGGAUUAUAGAGAGAGGUGUCUUUUAGAGUCUUGCCGGAAGUAAGCAAUUUGAGGAAAUUGUGCGCAAGCAAGGAGGGCAUCGGAAGAAGCAAGGUGUUGGCUACUUGAACGUACUCCUCCCAAGGGAACACGCUCACAAGAUGGCCUUCUACCACAAGACCACAAGGGCAAGGGAAAGUUUCAAGAGGACAUUGACUCAUUUGAAGAAGAUACCAAAGCCACGGUUGAGUUGGUUCCCAGGGACACUUCUAGUACUACCUCAACUAGUGCUACCACAAGUCCAAGGAUUCCCAUCAAAGUGAGGUGGGUCCCCAAGAGGAAAAACUAGAAUGUUCUUGAGGGGUGACUCUGCCAAUGAAAUUCACUCCCAUUAAUUUUGGCAAGAACUAUUGCAAUCAACCUCAACCGUAUGCAUUGGUUCAAGGAGUCACACAUUCCCUCGAAGGUGAGCAAGCUUAAGGAUAAGGUAACUAAAGCAUCUUUGGACAUAAAAUCCCAUGUACUUCACUCCAUGUCCAUAGAUAUCUUUGUGUUUGUUCCUUUGCUUUGGGACUAAGCCAUGUAGGUGGGAAGAGUAAGAAACAAGGAUUCCUCCCAACUCAAGAUGAUCUUCAUCAAUGUUGAGCAUCCAUCACUACUUUACCUACUUGAAGUCUUCUACGAGAAAAUCCAAGGUUAGUUUGUACCUAUUAGGGGGGAUGUCAUAUAAAGGGGGAGCUUCACUCUAAAUAUUUAGUAUAAGCAUCUCCUAGAGAUAUGAACACAUUAAUGAUUUAUAGUAAAAGUGGUAACCUCACUUGUCCUUAAACAAUGAGUAUGACCUAUUAUCAAGUUAUUCUUACUUGACCUCCUACAUUAAUAUACUCAUAUAUAGAUGACUUAUUCAUCGACUAAAGUGUACUUUANAGAAUUACGAGGUAUUGGUUUGUGCUAGUUGUUACAUUCAUUGAAUUUAAUUAUUUAGAACUNUUACUUUAUUGGUGUAGAGUACUUAGUGGGUUUACGGGUACGGAAAUUUACUUUACUUUUUACUNNNNNNNNNNNNNNNNNNNNNNNNNNNNNNNNNNNNNNNNNNNNNNNNNNNNNNNNNNNNNNNNNNNNNNNNNNNNNNNNNNNNNNNNNNNNNNNNNNNNAUGUUGGUUCGGUAGUAUCUUUUAUUCUAUUCGUAGGAUAUCUAGUUGUUUGUCUAUUUGGUCUUUUGUAUUUGUCUUUUGUUCCAACUUAGGAUAGUACAAGAAUAGCCUAGGACCCUUCGUUCUUAGUAUAUUUAAUUGAUUUCUUCAUCUCAAGUUCUAUUCAUGCUUCAUAYYACAAAACUUUAACUAAACAACUUCUCGAUCCCUUUGUGUGAAGGAGCACACGGAGUUCCAUAUCGACAAAGGCUGCGCUCCACAACCUCCUUCUGAAUCUCGGUGCAACCAACCGCACAAUCUCGUUUCCACCGAAUUCCCAAAGUUGAUCUGGGUUUUCAAUCUCGGUACCAGCAAAAUCACCAUCUCGGUUUCACCGAGUUUCCAUGUCAACUGACAACAACGAAACUUGGUGGCACCGACAUCUUAGUAUCGGUGACACCAACAGUAAUAGGUAUAUAUCCUAGCGGAUCCGAUGUUUUGAAAUCAAUCCUCAAACGUUUGACCCCAACCCUAAGCUGUCGUCACAAGGACCGCUGGUCAUCACCUUUUCAUCCCCGAGCGCCUUCGCUGUUGGGAUUCACCACCGCCGAUGGAAUCCUCGCCACUGUCGUCGUCUAGCUGGUUCAUCACCGAAUUAGGGUAUGAAUCUGAAACCUCUUGCGCUCCUUAAUCGAAUUCUCGCGCAUUAGGUUUUCCCAAUCCACAAUACACAGUUUACAAUCUUCCUAUUCCACAAGAAAACUCCAUAGAAUAGAGAAUAAGGAAUUUUUGAUCUCAUUUCCCGCAGCAUGCAUGUAACGACCAAGAUGUGACACUUUCCUUAUUUGGGGGUGAGGCCUCAAAAGGGCAAAGAGUCGCAUCUAAGCGUCUCGCAAGAAGGAUAACAAUGCCAUUACAUAAAUAGAGAGAUGAGUAUAAGAUUUGGCUUACACUUGCCACAUGCUAAAUUACAAUCCACACAAGCAUUCAUUAUGCAUACAUAAAGCAGGGUCCGACUACAGAGAAGAUAAACGGCAAAAUCAUGCUAUCCCAUCCUGCUAGUCCCAUGAUCACGACCACGCGCCUCUAGUCCUCGGGAUACGUCACAUACAGCAUGCCCCUGUCUUCGUCGAACUCCCACCUCAGCUGGUUAUCAUCGGGAACUCCUGCAUCUGGGUACCUAUACUUGUGGGUGUUUGUAGUAAACUAUGAGUCAUUAGGAGUCAGCAAUCUCAUGACCUUGGUAUCGAGUCUAACUUAGUUAAAUUGGUGAGGUAGGUUAAGUGUUUGAGUUUGCAGCAUCCUAAGCAUGUAUGGUGGCUAUCUUACGAUGAACAAUAGUUAAAUAUUGUGGUCUACGCAAGACGGUCGAAGACUAGGUUGAUCACUAAGUGAUCCUGAACACCUACUUACGUCAUUCAUAACCCCAAUGUAUUCUCGAUCAGAGAAGGAGCUCUGAAAGAAACAGUCACGGUUACGCACUCAGUUGGCAAGUUUUCAUUUGAAUUAUUUCAAGUUGUCUAGAACCAGAUGUUAACAAAAUAUCCAUGUUUGCAACAUAACCGCGGGCACGACUUUCCAAAAGAUUAAACCCUGAAAGGGUUUUCCAACUAGACCAUCACAAAUUCCAACUAGACCAUCACAAAAUAUCAAGUUGUCUAGAACCAGAUGUUAACAAAAUAUCCAUGUUUGCAUAGUAAUCCUGUACCACGAAACUCGUGAUCUCGUCGGAUUCCUUAGUGGAAAACCUCAACUCUGAGAAGACCCAAAGUCUCACCGGAAUCCCAACGCGCAAGAUAUAUCGCUAAGGUAAGACAAGUCCGGCAAGACCUCCCGACGUGUCGACGAUCCCGAUAGGAGUCGCGUAUCUCGUUCUCAAGACACGACGGAUAAGCGACGCGUACAGUGGCCUGAUAGAAAUCACUCAAGUUGCCCUGAGUUGGCCCCGUAGAGUGCUCUAGUUUGGACCAACACUCAUGAGGAGCACUGGCCCGGGGGUUGAUUAGAUUCCUCGGGGUAGCUAUUCCCUAUGCAUUUUAUUAAGUUAUUAGCAAAUUAAAACCAAAUUUGGCUCGUGCCAGACAAGUCUUAACACUAUACGAUUUAUCGAGGGGGUCCACAUAACAACCACGGACAUGUUAGGAGCGCUCAGUUAUGGAAUAAAACACCGUAGCCGAAACUAAGGCGAUAAUAACGAAACAAAUCACCCGACAAAAGGUUGGGCCUUCCGUUACUUACAUAGUAUAUAGGUGCAUUAAUUAAAUAGCAAUUAAAUGUGAUGAUAUCAAAUGCCCAUGUUAUCACAUGCACCACGUGGCACGUGCAACUAGCAACGCUAACAAUUAGUGGUUGAGCAACCUAACUUAGCCAAACAAUAUUUGCUUGGAGGGGACAUGCUUGAGGUUUCAUGGCAAUUUUUGAUGGCAUAUAUAUCAUGUGGUAGGCAACGGAGAAGUAACGAAAAAAAUAUAGCACUAAGCAAAACAAAGCUAAAAACGGUAUCAAGUUCACGAUCAUCUUGCGUGUGAUUUCUUCAGAGCGGAACUGAUCUUGAUAUUCCUGCACGAACUCACCGGACUCUUCGAACUCAUUUUUGGUCCCAGUAGGUACCCAAAAUAAAACAAGCAGGAAAUAAAUACUAGCAAGAAGAUCAUGCCAUAGACAUAAUGAUGCAAGCAUAAACAACUUCUACCAUGCACAAGAACCACCCUACAAAGAUAAAGCUAUUGCCACCUCACCACAAGGAGACUUUCUACACAAAUGCUCAAAACCAAAAAACCAGUACAACCAUUGGAUUCCUUGGGAUUAUCUACCCAAAAUCCAUAUAUCAUACUGCCCAUGUUGCAUUCAGAAAAACACUACAAACAAUGAAAAGAAAAGUAGCACAGAUCAAACUACAACAAUAUUCGGAACAAUGCUGUUCUUGAGCCUGUCCAAUUUGGCAAGUCCAUAUCUGGACAUUUCCAGAAAUGGGAACAACUACCUAUUUAACAACAAAAUAAAUACAACAAAAUAAAUAAAAAAAUAACAAGGAAAUGUAUGAAUAAGGGAGGGGGCCACUUGAGUAGGCCACGACUCCUUCACGUGGAUAGACAGUCGGUCGGGCCCCCGUCGGUCGGCCCACNNNNNNNNNNNNNNNNNNNNNNNNNNNNNNNNNNNNNNNNNNNNNNNNNNNNNNNNNNNNNNNNNNNNNNNNNNNNNNNNNNNNNNNNNNNNNNNNNNNNUCUUACAAGUUACUUAUUUUGUAGUUACUUUCUUAAUAGUUGUUGGUNUAAAAUUAGUCAAUUGCUUCAAUGCUAAAGGCUAUCGUGUACUUAUCGUAAGAUCUUGAUCCANACUUACUUUGUUGAUUAAUUAGUCACUUUAGUCAUGUAGAGGUUAGUAUGUUGGUAUUGUUGUUCUUGAUCAUGAUCGUGAUGCAUGCAUGUUCGUUAUCUUGUUUUGUUCGUACACCUCUCUCCCUAAACAUGUGGGCAUAUUUUUUGUAGCUCGGCUUUCGCGUUAGGACAAGCGAGGUCUAAGCUUGGGGGAGUUGAUACGUUCAUUUUGCAUCAUGCUUUUAUGAUGAUAUUUAUCGCUUCUCGGGCUGUUAUUUCACUUCACGGUACAAUACUUAUGCCUUUUCUCUCUUAUUUUGCAAGGUUUACAUGAAGAGGGAGAAUGCCGACAGCUGGAAUUCUGCCUGAAAAAGGAGCAAGUUUGAGAUGCCUAUUCUGCGCAACUCCAAAAGCCGUGAAAAUCAACGUGGAUUUUUUUGGGAAUAUAUAAAAAUAGUGGGCCGAAGAAGUGCCAUAGGAGCGCAAUCAGGGGGCCACAAGCCUGGUAGGCGCGGCCACCCCCCCUCGGCCGCGCCUAGGGGGCUUGUGGGCUCCCUGCUGGCCCACUGCCCCCCUCUUCUGCUAUAUGAAGGGUUUCGUUCCAAAAAAAAUCAAGACGAGGCUUUUCGGAGGAUUCGCCGCCGCCAUGAGGCGGAACUUGAGCAGAACCAAUCUAGAGCUCCGGCGGGACGAUCCUGCCGGGGAAAACUUCCCUCCUGGAGGGGGAAAUCGUCGCCAUCGUCAUCACCAACACUCCUCUCAUUGGAGGGGACUCAUCACCAUCAACAUCUUCAUCAGCACCAUCUCAUCUCCAAACCCUAGUUCAUCUCUUGUAACCAAUCUCCGUCUCGCGACUCCGAUUGGUACUUGUAAGGUUGCUAGUAGUGUUAAUUACUCCUUGUAGUUGAUGCUAGUUGGAUUACUUGGUGGAACAGUUUAUGUUCAGAUCUUUGAUGCUACUCAUUACGUCUCUGAUCAUGAAUAUGAUUAUGCUUUGUGAAUAGUUACUUUUGUUCCUGAGGACAUGGGAUAAGUCAUGCUAAUGGUAGUCAUGUGAAUUUGGUAUUCGUUCGGUAAUUUGAUGUGUUGUAUGUUGUUUUUCCUCUAGUGGUGUUAUGUGAACGUCGACUACAUAACACUUCACCAUUAUUUGGGCCUAGAGGAAGGCAUUGGGAAGUAGUAAGUAGAUGAUGGGUUGCUAGAGUGAUAGAAGCUUAAACCCUAGUUUAUGCGUUGCUUCGUAAGGGGCUGAUUUGGAUCCACUAGUUUAAUGCUAUGGUUAGACUUUGUCUCAAUUCUUCUUUCGUAGUUGCGGAUGCUUGCGAGAGGGGUUAAUCAUAAGUGGGAUGCUUGUCCAAGUAAGGGCAGUACCCAAGCGCCGGUCCACCCACAUAUCAAACUAUCAAAGUAACGAACGCGAAUCAUAUGAACAUGAUGAAAAUUAGGAUGACAGAAAUUCCCGUGUGUCCUCGGGAGCGUUUUUUCUCCUAUAAGACUUUGUUCAGGCUUGUACCUUGCUACAAAAGGUGUUAUGACCUCGGUGCCAGAACUAGUCAAGUUAUUAGGUUGAAUAGGUGGAGUAUUUAGGUUGCAGCAUCCUAAGCUUGAUUUGGUGGCUAACUUACAUAGAACUUGUAUGAAGGUGGUCUACACCAGCGGUCGAUUAUACUUGAUCACUAAGUGAUCCUGAACACCUACCUACGGCAUUCAUAACCCCACCGUGUUCCCGAUCGAAUAACGAUCUUCGAAGGGGACAGUCACGGUUACGCACUCCGUUGGCAAUUUUAUUUGCUUAUGUUUAAGUUAUCUAAUACCGGAGGCUAACAAGAUAUUCCAAGUUGCCACAUAACCGCGGGCACGGCUUUCCGAAAGAUUAAACCCUGCAGGGGUGCUCCAACUAGUCCACCACAAACGUACACAGGACGCAAAGUAAUCCUCUAUCACGAAUCUCGUGAUCUCGUCGGAUUCCUUAGAGGAAAACCUCAACUCUGGGGAGAACCAAAGCUUCACCGGGAUUCCUAUAUGCAAUAUAUAUCGCUAAGGUAAGACAAGACUAGCAGGACCUCUCGACGUGUCGACGACCCUGAUAAGAGCCGCGUGUCUUAGUCUCAGGACACGCCGGAUGAGCACAGCCUACAGUGGCCUGAUAGACAUCUCCCGAGUUGCCCCGGGUUGGCCCCGCACACGACUCUAGUCCGGACCAACACUCAUGAGGAGCACUGGCCCGGGUUGUUUAUUAAAUUCCUCGGGGUACCUAUUCCCUAUGCAGAUUAUUAUUAAGUGAUUAGCAAAUUAACACCAAUGUUGGGUCCUGCCGGAGAAGUCUUAACACUACGCGAUUUAUCGAGGGGGUCCCCAUAACAACCCCGAACAUGUUAGGAGCGAUCAAUAUGGAAUCAAACACCGGUAGCCGAUAACUAUGGCGGCAAUAACGGAACAAAGCACCCGGCAAAAGGCUAGGCCUUCCAUCAUUUACCAAGUAUAUAGGUGCAUUAAUUAAAUAACAGAAUUAAGAUAAUGAUAUUAAGCUCGUGUUAUCACAUGAGGCAAAGCACCUGCAUCUAGCAACGCUAACAUUAGUAGCUGAGCAAAGCCUACUUAGACAUUCAAGUUUGCUAGGAAGGGARUCAGUGUUUGGGUUCAUGGCAUAUCAAGAGGCAACUAUUUCAGUGGUAGGGAGCGAUCAUAUGACAAGGAAACGUAAUCUAGCAUAACAAGUCUACAGAUGGAAUCAAGGUCAUAUCAUCUUGCCUGUGAUAUCCUCAGCUUGGAAUGGUUCUUGUUCGUCAUGCACGUACUCUCCCGAAUCCACGUAUUCGUUCUCCGAUCCCGGUGCUACCCAACAUAAGAAUAACAUCCAAUGAACAACAAAACCUCAAGAUGCAACAAGCACAUGAUGCAUGAGAUGAAUAUGAGCAUGCAUCACUACUUCUAUCACUAACACAAUCAUAAGGGGUAAAUACAUGUUCCUGGACAGAACUGCAUCCUAAGCUAUUUGGACAUGCAUGCGAAUGACAUGAUCAAAUGCAUCUCAUGAAAACGAAUGCAAAUCCAUAUAAAGAACGCUACAAUCGGAGCUACGGAUCAACGGGAAUCAACGAAACAAGAUAUGAAGCCCUACGUGUCAAAAUGUCAAAACUACAUAAACUGCAUCAUAGCACUUUGUGAGCUACAUGCAAAGUAUCUACAGCCACCCAAAUAUGACAAAUAAUAUAUGUGGUUGUAGCUAUCCAAGAGUACUACAAGCACAAGUAAGAAUCACACACAAAUGAGUUAAACACAGAAAAUUACAAGGCUGUAAACUUGCCCAAAAAUAUCAGAUUUCAGGGACUUAGUGAAAAUUCCAGAUUCUCACUAUCUAUCUAUGCUUUGGAGCAUUUUGACAGCAGCCAAAACAGUAUCUACAGGACUCCAAAUGGAAUGAAAUUUUACAGGGAGCUAGACAAACAUAUCAGCUCCAACUUUCCAGUCGAAAGCUAAGGCUAGAUCACAACACGUUGACUUGCAGAACCUCAUCUACAGGAGAAGAAAUUAUAAACAGAUUCUCAGACUUAGUGAAAAUCUCAGAUUUUCACUAAUAUGGAAUUUCAGCCACAUGCCUACUUUGAUUGGGCACAACUUGCACAUAUGGAUUCCUAAACAUGAAUUGAAACCAACAUGUGGUAGAGGGGGUCAUCCUCUACUACCACAACCAAGAAUCAAACACAAAGGCUCACCACAACUCAUGAAACCAAGCUCUAAACAUAGAAGAAAAUGAAAUAUGUCAUCUCCAGAAAAUGUUCCAAUGGAAAAACUAAGUUCACCAAUGGAUUCCUUGGGAGAUUCUACCCCAAAAUCAUAUAUAAUAUGUAUGCACUUACUUGGAGCAAGUGACCACAAACUAGGAAGGAAGAAACUACGAGAAAUCAUACAUAGUGAAUAGUGCAACAUUUCAUGUGCAUAUCACUAGAACAACUCCUACAUAGAUGGUUACAUGAGGGUUUUGACCCCAUGUAUGUGUGCCAUAGCACAUCAAUCACCACAAGCACAUCUACCAAGCUAUCCACAACCACAAAACACCAAGCCCUCUCACAUAUGGCCAUGUGAAGGUGCAUAGUUUUGCUUGCAAAGGUGGGGAAGUACCACACACACACAUCUAAUCCACACCACACUACAACAUGCUCUUGAUAAAAACACAAGAAGUAGGGCAUCUAAAUAGUGACACAAGAUGGGAGCACCAUAUCACAUACACAUGCUCACAUCUAGGGUGUACAUGAACUAUGUUCAUGUGGGUGUGUUCUUCACACCAUAAGCACCCCAAGAUAUGCACAAAAAACAUAUCACCUAUUCCACAUAAGCAAGACACUAGAGCACCCACACACACACUUAUGCUAGCUUCACCACACACUCACAUACAUAUAACCAUGCAUGCACACAAUACGCAUACUGCACAGGAAAGAAGAAAUAAGAUACACACCUCUCUUGCUCUAUUACUUAGGCACAAGGUGAAGCAAGUAAAUAGAAAACAAAAAUAAAAGAAAGAAAGGGAAAAAAUAAAGGGCUGGCCUGGGAUUCAAACCCAGUGCCCCUGGUAUACCACAGAACAGGCUACCACUCUGCUACUGUCACUGUUUUGACAAAGAGAGGGGAUCUAACAGGGUAAGCUUCCCGUGUAGCUCACUGUGUCGAAUAAAACCAAAACAAAAUUUGCCGAGGGGGAUUCGAACCCACGCCUCUCAACAGGCACACAGCGCUCGCUACCACUACGCCACGGUCAAGGAGUCUGACGGAGAGGGGAUCUGAAACUAGGUAACUUAGUAGGAGGCCUUGCUCUGCCUACACAGCCUGCCGGCGAAAGGAAAGACGCCGGGCUUGCCUCACCGUUGUUGUUGCUGCUAUUGCUCCACGCCAGGAAGAUCUACCACUCCACUACGUUGCGCCUGAUACGCCACGGCUACACGCUACCACACCAAGCUACUGCACCACAAACACAUGCCCUGCUACCGAUCUGCUGUGAACAGAGAAGCCAACGAACACUACGGCGGAUCCGGGCCGAUCCAAGGAGGAAGAAGGAAGGGGACGAUGUCAUCACCUAGAGAAGGAAGAAGGAGGCCGAUCGGAGGAGGAGUCGCUGGAGGGGGAAGAAGAUCGACGACGAAGAUGCUCCUGACGCAGAACCGAAGCAGAGGUGAAGGAGCACCAGGUACGCGGCGUCGGCGAGCUCCUGGUCGACGGUGAGGACGCUCCUCGAACUCACCGAGGACGAAAAUGGGGCGCGGGCAGCAUCCCCGUGCCCCUGGACAUGGCCGCCGGCGCUGCUCGACGGAGAAGGCGGGGUAGACGGUGGCGAGGGGUUCUCUCUCUCUCUACUCCUAAUCUACAAAGAACUUACCAGUUGGGAGAAGAGAGAUGGGGAUGGAGAGAGGUGGUGGCGGCGGAUGGGGAGAGAGGGAAAACCUAGGGAGAAGAGAGGCACGGACGCCGAGAUUAUAUAAGGGGGUCCCCUCGACGUUGGUGCCCUCACGGCGGCAACGCCUGCUCUCUGAUGGACUGACGGAAAGGCAGAGAGGGGGGAGACGGCGUCAGGGAGGAAGAAGGGAAGCGCGUGGGCUCCUGGCGCACGAGAGGGAGAAGAGAUGGGCCUCUGUGAGUGGUAGGAAGCCCACCAGAGCGCCAAAUAGGGAAAAGCAAGCCCUGGGCUAUUACCUAUUUAGAAUAAAUACAGAGAAAGGAAAAGGCCCACGGGGCUAACUACUGAAGAUAAAAUCAAAAUAAAAAUGCCUCUGGAUCUGAAAAUAAAUAAGCUAUUUAAAUAAAAUACAAAAGGAAUUUUAUGGGGCAAUUAAAUAAAUACAAAACAGCNNNNNNNNNNNNNNNNNNNNNNNNNNNNNNNNNNNNNNNNNNNNNNNNNNNNNNNNNNNNNNNNNNNNNNNNNNNNNNNNNNNNNNNNNNNNNNNNNNNNAAGAUCGUCACUUAGAUGACUUCUGAAAUCGAGCUCUCCUCUACUUAUUCUCAGUUGUCGCUGCUCUUGGUUUCCYUAACUCUGGUUUCAAAAUCCACAAGGAUGAUCCUCAUCAUGCGCCCAAAGGCAUCGAGGCUUGUGGUUAUCUUGUAAAAUCCCUUGAUGAGCUUGAGGAUGAUGGUAAGGGCAAGGAUCUAAAUAAAGUUUCUAUUUGGAGGUAUCCUUCCUUUAUUGUUUUUAGUGUGUCAUUCACACCAUCUAUCCCAAAAUGGGUGUUAAGGGGACCUAUAACGGGUACUGUAUUGAUAUUAUGUCUCGCCUUAAUGAGCAUCCUAAAGGGAAGAUUAAUGUUGCUCACUUUGUACGGAAUGAGAUUUGUCCCACUAGUUUUUAGUACAAGCAAGCUUUUCCUCAUGCUCCUUUUUUCAGGCUCUCAUCGAGCAUGUGGCCACUUUCCCCAUUGCUCGUACUCAUGUGCAAUAGAAGUGGGUCAUUCCACCUCAUAUGGCAGAUGAUUGGGAUACCAAAGAACUCCUCUCUUGUUUCCGUCGACGGUCUACUGUCCUGUGUCUAUUUUCGCCUUCCCUUACUUUCCUUACGUCCCCCUUCGGUCCCUAUUCGUCUUCGUCUUUUCGAAGGGGAACGCCAACGUACGACGGGUANACGGAUGAUAGACNNNNNNNNNNNNNNNNNNNNNNNNNNNNNNNNNNNNNNNNNNNNNNNNNNNNNNNNNNNNNNNNNNNNNNNNNNNNNNNNNNNNNNNNNNNNNNNNNNNNAUUCUUGACUUUGGUAACUUUACAUUAUAAAGUUUACUCCAACUUAUCCUCAAACUUUUUGUUGUCAUGCCUUAAUGCUCAAAUAAUAGCCCUACACAAAAUAUUGGAUUUGUGGGAAUUCAUUUGAAUAGGGUUCUAAGCAGAAACCCAUUUCUGCCCAUUUCUAGGGUUUUUCAAGUCUACAUUGGAAAACUUCUCCAGCAAAUCCCAUAUUUGGUGUGGAAGCCUAUUUCCAUAUAUUAUUUGACCCUAUUAAGUUUCAUAGCCAUUGGAAUUCAUCUGGUGGACCAACCACAGAUCAAACACCUUGUGUGCACUCACUAAUUUGGUUUCUUUUGCCCCUUCCACUUUUACCCUUGAGCUCAACUUUCUACCACAGCCUCACAUAGUUACAUUUCACCUCCAGUAACUUUCCCAUGACCACUGGUCAAUUAUUUGGGAAGGACCUUUAUAAGUUUCUCUCAUUUUCACCCUUGGCAGCACUGUUUUACCCUUCUUUUCAUUAUUCUGCUUAAGCUAUCACCCCCAACUCAUUCCAGAGCAUCCAUUAUAUUCCAAGUCUUCAUUUAGAACCAAGAUAUGGCAUGCUCAUGUGGAGAAAAUGAGCAGCACCUCCUCAAGUUCAUUUCUGGCUGAAUCAUGGCUUUGAACAGCAAGUAGUAUGUACCCUCAUUUGUUUGAACUGAAACAUUGCAGUAUUAAAGUCCUUCCAUGCCUAGCACUGCCAGACGUAAUUUAUCUCCAAGGAUCCCCACCUAAGACCCCCUUUUGUCAGCUCUAAGUUUGCUGUUAGGAACUUUGCAGCAGUCAAGGCUAGUUCAAACCGACUCCACUAGUUGCCAAAGCUCCAGCGUUACCUUUCUACAUGUAUGGCUUGCAUGCUGGAAAGGUUUUGCUGGCCAUUGCNNNNNNNNNNNNNNNNNNNNNNNNNNNNNNNNNNNNNNNNNNNNNNNNNNNNNNNNNNNNNNNNNNNNNNNNNNNNNNNNNNNNNNNNNNNNNNNNNNNNCGCUCCGGAAGUUUGUGAUGAUCUCGUCUCAGCAGGGCUCCGCCCGAGCUCCGCAGAAACGCGAUCUAGAGGUAAAACCGUGGAGAUAUGUGGUCGGGCUGCCGUGGCAAAAGUUGUCUCAAAUCAGCCCUAAAACCCCACUAUAUAUAGGAGGGAGGGAGGGGAGGAGGCAGCCCCAAAACCUAAAGGUUUGGCCGAAAUUGGAGGUGGAGGAGUCCUACUCCAAUCCUACUUGGAGUAGGAUUCCACCUUCCCACUUGGAAACUCUUUCCACCUUGUGUUUUUUCCUUCUCAAACCUUAUGGGCCUUAGUGGGAACUUAUUCCAGCCCACUAGGGGCUGGUUUAUCUCUUCCCAUAGCCCAUGAGACCCCUUGUGGCGUGACACCCCUCCUGAUGGUCCCCGGCACCCCUCCCGGCACUCCCAGUACACUACCGAUGAGCCCGAAACUUUUCCGGUAAUGCACGAAAACCUUCCGGUAACCAAAUGAGGUCAUCCUAUGUAUAAAUCUUCAUUUCCGGACCAUUCCGGAAACCCUCGUGACAUCCGUGAUCUCAUCCGGGACUCCGAACAACAUUCGGUAAUCAACCAUAUAACUCAAAUACGCAUAAAACAACGUCGAACCUUAAGUGUGCAGACCCUGCGGGUUCGAGAACUAUGUAGACAUGAUCCGAGAGACUCCUCGGUCAAUAUCCAAUAGCGGGACCUGGAUGCCCAUAUUGGAUCCUACAUAUUCUACGAAGAUCUUAUCGUUUGAACCUCAGUGCCNNNNNNNNNNNNNNNNNNNNNNNNNNNNNNNNNNNNNNNNNNNNNNNNNNNNNNNNNNNNNNNNNNNNNNNNNNNNNNNNNNNNNNNNNNNNNNNNNNNNUACAUAGCUUUGGAUGAAAUNUAAACCCAGAUAAACGUCAAUGAAGAAACCUAGGCUUAAAAUAUCUCAUGAUCAAGGAUUAGUGGGGUAGUUAUCUCAUUCUUGAAACAACUUCCCUUCGAGACUCUUCCACUAACAAGAAUGCUAUAACACCACCUCAAAGGAAAAUGGAGGAAGAAUUGCACUUUGAAAUACAAGAUACGAACACUUAGGUACUACCAAAAGAAUCUUGAAGACACUUUGAGAAUUAAUUGAAAAAUUGAAGGACCAUCAUGAAAACCACUUGAAGAACACUAGAAUGAAAGGAUGAAAGAAUAAGAUUAAAGGCCUUACAAUGAUUUAGAUGAAGAUUCAUGAAGAGAUGUUUGAGAAAACUUGGAACUCCGGAAAAAUGAGAUGAACAACAUUGAAUGGAAAAUUGAUAUCAUGAGCCACUACAGAAGAAGAACUGAAAUCACCUUGAUAGAAACAAAAGAAUGAUAAUUAUGUUAUGCUCACCUUCUAUACUAAGUUAAAGUUAGGUUGACAACGACGAACGGUAAGUUGUCGAUAUACUACUUACUUUCUUUACUUUAAGUAAAAAAAACGUUAAAAAAGUAAGGGAGGAAGUAAGUAAGUAAGGACGACUACUACUUAGUAANNNNNNNNNNNNNNNNNNNNNNNNNNNNNNNNNNNNNNNNNNNNNNNNNNNNNNNNNNNNNNNNNNNNNNNNNNNNNNNNNNNNNNNNNNNNNNNNNNNNUUACCUUCCAAUAGAUUGAAUAACGUAGUCAACAGAAMUCWAACGCAUGAUCAAAAGUAGCAAAGACUACUACCGCAGAUUAUUUGGUGAAGAUUAUGAGAAUCAGUUUGCACAGUACGCAGGUACACAGAAAGUAGGGGAAGAUUAACUCGAAUGAAUAAUCUGAGGUUGAGGAAAUUCAUAUAAAGUCUUCGGAAAAUUUCUUCAAACAGCGUAGAUGAAAGUCUUCAACAUACAAUUGUGAGGAAAUGGAAGAGUUGAAGAAAUAGAACUCGUAUCACGAUGAAGAUAGUUGUUGAUGACCCAGUUCCAACUGUUGUGACAAUUGUACGUCUGGUUUGGAGUGGCUUGGUAUUGAAACCAAAGGACACACAGUCCCUACCAUAUUCUCUUUGAGCUAGGGACACACAGUCCUCGUCCAACACUCGUGGUAAGUCUUUAGGGCACACUUCCAAACCCUCACAAACUCGGUCACCCGACGAUCCACAAUUGACUGCUGGAUGCUCUAGACCAUGACGCCUAACUGUCUGGAGGAUGCACAGUCCUCAAAGGUAAAAGGCUUCAGUUCCACACAGGAACAAAUUCUUCAUUGAUGCUUUUCUCUCAAAGACUCUUAGGAAUAUGUGGUUUGGUGUUUGGGGUAUUUCCUCACUUGAUGAUUUUCUCUCGAAGACUCUGAGGAAUUUGGGUUGCUGUAAAUGAUAAGUGUCAGUUUCUCUCGGAGCAGCCAACCAGCUAGUGGUAGUGGGGGCGGCUAUUUAUAGCAUGGGAGCAUCCCGACAUGAUUUGACAUAAAUGCCCUUAAGUACUGUGACCGUUGGGUGGAUAAGAUUAGGGAGGUGGCGCGUGUCGCGGCAACGGUCAGAACUUUCAACUGUGAAAGUCCUCAUGUCUCUCAUAUUCCUCUACUUUGAGGUCUUUGGUUAGGUUUCGUAGUUUUGGGUUGAGCUAUCAUGAGACAAAUUCAUUGUGUUAGUUAUUACUUCCUAACCCCCUUUAAUACGUACGGUUGUUCCUAUGACUACAAGAAGUAAAGAAUAGAACAGAAGAGUAAUCUUNNNNNNNNNNNNNNNNNNNNNNNNNNNNNNNNNNNNNNNNNNNNNNNNNNNNNNNNNNNNNNNNNNNNNNNNNNNNNNNNNNNNNNNNNNNNNNNNNNNNCCGUCCUUUCGGUCGUUACGUAGGACCGUCGUAGGUCGUCUUGGUCCUACGGUACGGCCUGGACGUUCGUCUGGGCGAUAACCAAUACUUUCUAUCAGUUUCCUUCUCCUUGGUAAGGAGUAUGGGUUAGUAGGUUCCGUCCACUUCCUCUUCCUCAUCACUAGCUGGAUCUUCACACAUAGAAGUUGGCCUUUUGUAGGAUCGAAAGUAUAUCUAGAGGGGGUGGUUAGACUACUUGACAAGAUAAAAACUUAGCCUUUUCCCAAUUUUCAGUGUGGCCAGUUUUAGCAACUAUGACUAGUCAACUACACCCUACACAUGGACAUCUAAGAGUAUAGCAGUGGAAAAUAAGACAUGCAAGUGUAAAGCAAGGAAGGGUAGGGAGAUCAAACACAUGAGGUUAACACGGUGAUUUUUGGCAUGCUUCCGAUAGAUGGCGCUAUCGCACGUCCAUGUUAGCGGAGACUUCAACCCAUGGAGGAUAAGGGCUGCUAGAGUCCACGGAGAGCUCCAACCACAAGGGGUCCAUGAAGAAGAGGCCUUGUCUAUUCCACCACGGCGUCCAUCCACACAAGACUAGCCUCACUCAUGGUGGAUCUUCAUGAAGUAGGCGUUCUCCUUGACCUUGGAAACAUCUUGGUUCAACUCCACAACACAAAGUAGGAGGAUCGCAAGUGACACCUAACCAACCUAGGAGGUACCACCCUCCAAAAUGUAAUAGAUGUGGUAGAACGAUGAACUAGUUGCUCUUGUGCUCCUAAACAUAGUCUCCUCAAUACUCAUUCACUCUCUCUCAGGUUUGGCAGGGGUAGGAGAGAUUGAUCUUGUGGAAAGCAACUUGGGGAGGCUAGAAAUCAAGGUUCAAAUGGUUGGAAUGGAAUCUCUUGAUAUCAACACAUGAGUAGGUGGAUCUCUCUCAGAAAAAUGAAUCUGGCAAUGAAGUGUGUGUUGUGAGUGCUUCCGCUGCAAAUGAGAGGUAGGUGGAGGGGUAUAUAUAGGUAGCACACAAAAUCCAACCGUUCCACCAUGAUUGACCAACUCGAUGACACCAAAGUUAAAAACUUGGUGGUACCGACUUGCUAAAAAGGCAGCAACUUUGAAUCUCGGUGGAACUGAUAUACCCUACUCGGUGGCACCGAAAAGGUAACUAACGAUCAUAUGACACAACUCGGUGACAUCGAUACUCAAAGACAAAAAUUAUGAUUUUGUGUAUCGAGGCAAUAGAAUGUUGGUCACAUGAACUUGAUAGCACCGAUGCAGUUUCGGUUGCACCGAAGUGGUAGGGUUUGGCUAGGCUCUGUCUAAGUCUGAAAUCGGUAGGGCCAAGUGGAAAUUGUGGGUGGCACCGAUUUUGGAUAUUUGGCUUGGGACAAAUAUAUUUUGUGGAAGAAUGGUUGAGUACUUUUGGUGGCUAACUCUAAGUACUUGAGCAACCAAUUCAUCAUCACACCUCAUCCCCUUUCGAUAGUCUUGGCUUUCCUAUGGACUCAAAUGUGAUUUCUUACAAAGUGUGGAAUUAAGAGUCUUCUUGGUUGAAGCUUUAACCAAUCUUAUUCCUUCCAUCAUCGAGGGGCAUCUCCACUCAAUCCUAUAGCCAAAGCAUCUUUUGGACUUUUCUGAAAUAUACUUGUAGAAACUCAUUAGUCGAAUGAUGAUCAUGUUGUGAUUAAUUACCAAAACCACCUUAGGGAGCAAUUGUGUUUUCAAUCUCCCCCUUUUUGGUAAUUGAAGACAACAUAUAGAUCAAAGCUUCGACAAAAGAUAUAAUCAAUGAUUAGCAUCGACUCUUUGAGAGGUACGUGAUAAACAAGGUCUCCCCCUAAAUUUGUGCGUUAUUUUAAAUUUGCAUUUGAAUGCAAAUGCAUAAUCGAAUAGGAAUAUGAUUACUAUUCCAUGUCACAUACAACUUGGUGGUGCGCAUAACAGAUAAGAAUGAAUAGAAAUGCACAUAGCACCAAAAACAAGUGAAUGAUCAUGAUGUAGAUAGCUCAAAGAUAAUAAUGUAGUAGCAUCAAACAAUCAAAGUGCAUGAUCAAACACACAUCUAAAAACAUAAUGUCAUCCAAACCACCAUAUAAAGUUUUGAAAACCAAACGAGAGUAAAUAAAGUCAAAAGCUCUCCCUCUCUCGAAGCCCUAUGAUCUAUACACUUCUCCCCAUUUGGCAACAAGUACCAAAAGUUCAAAGGUCUAAUCUAAGCGUCUCUCUGGGCAUGAUCUCCUCUGGUAGCACAUGUUGGAGUAGACAAGAGAGCAUCGACAAAGGCUUCGAUUGAUGUCGCUCGAGCAGGAUCUGGAGGUGUAGACACGGGAGGUGGUUGAGCAGGAGCUGAAGCUUGAGCAGAUGAAGACGGUCUAUCUUCUGGUACUGGCGUGGCUACUGACCUAGUUUGGGUCGAGAAACGUGUGGUAGUACGAAUAGGUGAAUCAUCAUCAUCAUCAUCAUCUUCAUUAUCCGAGUGUGGAAUCUACACCGAGUCAACUUCAUGCUGAAGUUGUGUUACUGUAGCGGUCAACUCCGUAACCUUCACAUCUAGUCAUGGACCUUUGUUUCCACGAUCCUCUCUAGGCUCUUCUAGUUCAGCAUGAUCUCAGAAAUAUUGUUCUUCAUACCUUGGAUGGUGCUGACCAAGAACGACAUAUGUUCCUCUCUGGUUUUGAGCUGUGGUGGUGGAGCUGGAGCAUUCUUAGCAAUCUCUGCAGCAGCUGCCUCUAGAGCCUAUCUAGCUGUAGCUGAAUCUGGAUGAGUGUCAUUCAUCACAACUUCAUUAUCCUCGAACUCUAGCCGUAGUGGAAAAUGAGGACAAUCAAGCUGAUAUGCAUGCUUGGAAAUCUUGGCAUUGAUGAGCAUCUGAAUGUGUGGUGGAUAUCCGCAAGAUCUCUUCUGAUCUGCAAAAGUUCUCCUGAUAGUCUCAGCAAUCAAGUCCAUGACUUUGAAGCGAGUGUGGUGAUUAAAUGAAGCAGCAUAAUGAUGGAAUACCCUCUAAUCAUUUUGUCAUCACCUGAUUUGGGCAUCGCAGUAUGCCUCAAGAUAGUGUUUGCACUGGUUACUCCAACUUGCAAGAAAUAGACAGACCCAAGCUUGUGAGAUGGUAGGAAGUCAUUUGGCACUGUUUUGUACAUAUUGGCCAUGGAGUUGUGAUUAUUCUUUGGUUCUGAAUACACAUCCAAGUCCCGUUCUCGUGGAUUUGGAGCACCAAUGAUAUGAGCCUAUUCUUCAAUUGUGGCUUCAUAUCUAUGUCCAUCAGUCAUCUACACAAUUGUGCCAUUUGAAUAGAAAUGAACUGUUGAAUAGAAUUUCAUAAUCAUUUCAUCAUUCCAUGAAGUCAUCUCUGUGCCAACAAACUAUUCAAUGUCAACAAGAUUGAAGUUCUCUCUCACAUGAGGAAUAAAUCAUCACUCGUCUUUGAUGUAACUCCCAGUACAACAUAUCUCAUGUCAACUUAACUUCCAGUAUUAUUUGUACUAANNNNNNNNNNNNNNNNNNNNNNNNNNNNNNNNNNNNNNNNNNNNNNNNNNNNNNNNNNNNNNNNNNNNNNNNNNNNNNNNNNNNNNNNNNNNNNNNNNNNAUUUUCUUUGGGUUAAACUUUCAAAACCUUGAGAUGAGGUUUGUACUACAAGCCCUCAAAUUAGGGAAUUUAUUUUGCAUCAAUUAUUUUAUUUCAAACCCAUUAUCAAAGUGUCUUCCAAAAACCACCAUAUUAUUAUUUUAAAAGUUAUUUUAUUAUUUUAUUUAAAAGCCCUUCUAUGAGGCCAGAAAUGGUCUCCUAUGAAGGAAAGUUAUUUUUGUUGCCUUCAAAAUAUUUCAGAAAAAUUUAGGGAAACUCAGUGGAAAUAUUUAUUCCAUAUUUAUGAGUUUCAACACAUGGUCAUGUUCAAAAUAUUGGGCAAACCCCUCCAAAACCAUUCCUGCCUAUUUCAAGCUUUUGGAAUAUUUCUAUAAGAAAUAUUCUCAAUAAAUUCCAGUAAAAUUCUAGCAUGUCAUCUAUGAUAUUAUUGAUGAUCUUGCCAAGUUUCAUUUCAAUCCAAGUUGAUUUGACUCCCCUAAUCACUCUAAAACCCUAUCUGUCCAGAAUCAAAUUUGAGCAACUCUACAUUGUGAAGUGUCUCCAAUUGUGCUCAAAUUUGGUGGACAUGUUCCAGUACUCCAAUGAGGCAUCCACACCAAGUGGUACACCAAGGAGAAUAUAGGAACUUGUCCUAAGACCAUCAAAACCCUCUCUGUUGAUUUCUGACUUUGGUAAACUUUACAUUAUAAAGUUUCUCCAAUUAUCCUCAAACUUUUUGUGCAUGCCUUAAUGCUCAAAUAAUGCCCCUACACAAAAUAUUGGAUUUGUGGGAAUUCAUUGAAUAGGGUUCUAAGCAGAACCAUUUCNGCCAUUUCUAGGGUCUUUUCAAGUCUACNNNNNNNNNNNNNNNNNNNNNNNNNNNNNNNNNNNNNNNNNNNNNNNNNNNNNNNNNNNNNNNNNNNNNNNNNNNNNNNNNNNNNNNNNNNNNNNNNNNNGCAUGCAAGCUUCCUAGAAUUUAGGGUUGGCAUCUGUUUAAAACAUGUGGGAUUAGGGUAGGGGUCUUGCGCCGUUUUCGGACCGUGUGAUCUCGAUCGGACGGUCCGAAACGGAGGGGUAGGAUAGGUGGGUGGUGUUCGGCCGUGUAGAAUAGGUUGGGCUGAGAAGAGAGGGAGAUUUGUGGCCGCAGAAUGAGAUUUUAAACAACAAAAAACAUACGAUGAUAGAUGACGGUGCCGCUACGGUCGACAGUUCGGGCAUCACACGACCUCUGAUUGCGACGAAAUUUGUCACGCGGUCUACCUAUAUUAAAAUAAGACCGCACGCCAAGUUUCAACCCAAUCCGAGAAUAUUUUGUACACAUGUUUAAAAUCAAUAUUUUAAUGAUGUCGUGGGCGCGUGCGUGUGUGGUUGGUCUCGAAACGGUCAACGACAAAAUGAAGAGAAUCGGCAACUACUAACGGAUGCAUGUUUUGAAAACUGGCGGCAACGGAAUGCCGAUGCAAUGCGGAUGAUCUGAUGAUGAAUGCGAGAACCAAAUAAAACACAUGGCGACAACGAAAUAAAAGGGGAAUUCKUUUGGCGCGUCGGUCUUGGGCUGUUACAACUCUCCUACACUAACAAGAGAUCUCUCCCCGAGAAUCCUAAAGAAUGAAAGGGGANNNNNNNNNNNNNNNNNNNNNNNNNNNNNNNNNNNNNNNNNNNNNNNNNNNNNNNNNNNNNNNNNNNNNNNNNNNNNNNNNNNNNNNNNNNNNNNNNNNNAUUUCUAUUUAUUAUUGGUGUUAGAUUACUGUAUUCUCACUUUCCACUGGCUAGUACCCCCGACUACUAUCCAUAGUUUCAUCAAAACAAAGACAACCAACUCACAAAAAGAAUACUGUCAAAAMMAGACCACUCUGUAGCAAUAUGUAUACUUCGUAUACUUCUGGUACCUCWAAAUUUUUGAAACAUUACGACAGCCUGGGAAAAAGGAAUAUCAACCAGCAUCAAAAAGAAUCAACUCAAAAGCUCUUUCUGAAUGAAAUUGAAACAUAAUUUUGUGAGCGAAAAGUUUCUGUAUUUUUCCAGCAGGAUCAAAGAACCAUCUACCAAAACUAGUCAUAAAGGUUUUGCUUGGCUCAAACACAAAAAGAAACACUAAAAACACAAUCAUAAUAGAAUUAUGAUCGUUUGGACGCAACAAAACAUAAAGAAUAGAUAAAUUCGUUGGGUUGCCUCCCAACAAGCGCUAUUGUUUAAGGCCCUUAGCUAGGCAUAAGGCGAUAGAAUCAUGUAUCGUCGUCUUUGGUACUCAAACUGUAAGUAGCCCUCAUCAUGGAUUCAUAAGGCAAUCUUAUUUUCUUUCUAGGAAAAUGUACAUGGCCUUCUUUAAUGGAAAUUGAAAUCUAAUAUUCCCUUCCUUCAUAUCGAUGAUACCACCAAUAGUCCUUUGGAAAGGUCUACCAAGAAUGAUAGGGCAUGUAGGAUUGCAAUCAAUAUCAAGCACGAUGAAAUCCACUAGUACAUAGUUCCUAUUUGCAAUAAUAAGAACAUCAUUGAUCCUUCCCAUGGGUUUCUUGACAGUAGAAUCCGCAAGAUGCAAAUUAAGAGAGCACUCAUCAAUCUCAUUAAAGCCAGAACAUCACAUAAAGACUUUGGAAUCGCGGAAACACUAGCACCCAAAUCACACAAAUCAUUGAAUUCAUAGUUUUCGAUUUUGAUUUUGAUAGUAGGUGCCCACUCAUCAUGAAGCUUUCUAGGAAUAGAAACUUCCAACUCAAGUUUCUCUUGAAGAGAUUUUAUCAUAUCUUCGACGAUAUGAUCGGUAAAGGCCUUGUUUUGGCUAUAAGCGUGUGGAGAGUUUAGCAUGGAUUGCAUCAAUGAAAUGCAUUCAAUCAAGGAGCAACUAUCAUAAUUGAAUUCCUUGAAAUCCAAAGUAGUAGUUUCAUUACUACUCAAGCUUUUAAUAUCUUCUACUCCACUUUCAAUUCUUUUAGCAUCAAGAUAGAUGGACUCCGAAUCAUUGGGGCAUUUUUCAACCAAAGUGGAUUCAUAUCCAGCCCCAUUAUCGUUAGGUUUGACACAAGAAAACAAAGAUUCAAUGGGAGUCGCACCAAACACUUUAAGAUCCUCAUGAUUCUUAUCACGAGAACACACCUUUUUAAGCCAUUCAUGUCUAGCACGAAUUUGGGCGGUUCUUUGUUUGCUCUCACUCAUGGAAACACGCAUAGCUUUCAAAGUUUCAUCCAUAUUGGUCUUGGGAGAAGCACAUCUAACUUUCAAAGAAUCAAUAUCACUAGACAUUCUAUCAACGCUCCUAGCCAAAUCGUCAAUUUUCAGUACUUUUUCCUCUAUGGACGCAUUGAAAAUCUUUUGCGAGUUGAGAAACUCUUUGAUAUUAGUCUUUUGAUCAGAGGGUAAUUUAUUGUAAUUUCCAUGAGUAUUGUUGUAGGAGUUGCCAAAGUUAUUAGAGGGGUUACUAGGAAAAGGCCUGGGAACAUAGUUUCCUCUAAAAGCAUUGUUUUUGCCAAAAUUAUUCCUACCAACAAAACUAACGUCCAAGCUCGCAUUACUACUCUCAAUCAAGGAAGACAAGGGCAUGUCAUUAGGAUCUAAAGGAGCACUUCUACUAGCAAUGAAAUUCAUUAACUCGUCCAUCUUAGCACUCAACGAGUUAACUUCUUCUAUAGCGUGUACCUUUUUACUAGUAGGUCACCUUUCAGUGUGCCACUGAGAGUAGUUUGUCAUGAUAUUGUCUAGGAGUUUUUUGGCUUCUCCUAAUGUGAUUUCCAUGAACAUUCUACCUGAGGUGGAGUCAAAGAUAAUUCUAGAAGCGAAAUUCAAGCCAGCGUAGAAGAUUUGUAUAAUCAUCCGAAGACUCAAGCCAUGAGCGGGACAAUUUCUAAUCAUCAAUUUCAUUCUCUCCCAAGAUUGUGCAACAUGUUCAUGAUCGAGUUGCUUAAAAUUCAUGAUAUAAUUAUGGAGAGUGAUAAUCUUAGCCGGCGGAAAAUACUUGGAUAUAUAAGCAUCUUUGCACUUGUUCCAAUAAUCAAUACUAUUUUUAGGCAAAUAUGAAAACCAAGUUUUUGCUCGAUCGCGCAACGAGAACGGAAAAAUCUUCAAUUUAAUCACAUCAUUAUCCACAUCUUUCUUCUUUUACAUAUCACAAAGCUCAAUGAAGGUAUUAAGAUGGGAUGCGACAUCUUCACUAGGAAGGCCGGAGAAUUGCUCUUUCAUAACAAGAUUGAGCAAAUCAGCAUUGAUUUCGUAUGAUUCCGCACUAGUGGCGGGAGCAAUCAGAGUACUAACAAAAUCAUUAUUAUUAGUAUUUGAGAAGUCACAAAGUUUGGUGUUUUCAGUCAUGGUGACUUCAACAAGCAAACAAGCACACAAGCGAACAGGAAGCAAGCGAGAGAAAAGGGCGGACGAAAAAGGCAAACGAAAAAGGCAAAUAUUUUUGUAAAUUUUUGUUAUUCAGAAGUGGGGGAGAGGAAAACAAAAGGCAAAAAAGUAAAUGCAAGAGAUGAGUUUGCGACACUUACUUGGAUCAGUUCUUAACUUGAUCGUCCCCGGCAACGGCGCCAGAAAUCCUUCUGCUGCCUCUUGAGAUUGCGUUGGUUUUUCCCUUGAAGAGGAAAGGGUGAUGCAGCACAGGAGCAAUAAGUAUUUCCCUCAGUUUGAGAACCAAGGUAUCAAUCCAGUAGGAGAAUCGAGGUCAAGUCCAGAGUACCUGCGCAAUCACAAACGAGCUUGCACCCAACGCUAUAAAGGGGUUGUCAAUCCCUUCAAGAUUGAUUGCAAAGUGAUAUCUGAAGGCGGAAAGUGCAACGAAGUAAAAGUGAAAGGCUGAAAAUAUGGUGUGAAGUAGACCUGGGGGCCAUAGUGUUCACUAGAGGCUUCUCUCAAAAUAGCAAAUAUUAUGGUGGGUGAACAAAUUACUGUCGAGCAUUUGAUAGAACCGCGCAAAGUCAUGACGAUAUCUAAGGCAAUGAUCAUACAUAUAGGCAUCACGUCCGAGACAAGUAGACCAAUACUGUCUGCAUCUGCCACUAUUACUCCACACAUCGACCGCUAUACAUCAUGCAUCUAGUGUAUUGAGUUCAUGACAAACAGAGUAACGCCUUAAGCAAGAUGACAUGAUGUAGAGGGAUAAACUUAAACCAAUGAUGUAAACCCCAUCUUUUUAGCCUUGAUGGAAACAACAUGAUGCGUGCCUCGCUACCCCUUCUGUCACUGAGUGAGGUCACCGCACGGUAUGAACCCAAAACCAAGCACUUCUCCCAUUGCAAGAGUCAUAGAUCAGGUUGAGCAAAGAAAACCACAACUCGAAGAGAAUUACAAGGAUAUGAAAUCAUGCAUAUAAGAGAUCAAAAGAAAUCAAAUAAGAUUCAUAGAUAAUCUGAUCAUAAAUCCACAAUUCAUUAGAUCUCCACAAACACACCACAAAAGAAGAUUACAUCGGAUAGAUCUCCAUGAAGAUCAUGGAGAACUUUGUAUUGAAGAUCCAAGAGAGAGAAGAAGCCAUCUAGCUACUAGCUAUGGACCCGAAGGUCUGUAGUGAACUACUCAUGCAUCAUCGGAGAGGUCAUGGUGUUGAUGAAGAAGCCCUCCGUAUCCGAAUCCCCCUCCGGCAGGGCACCAGAACGUGCCCCAGAUGACAUCUUGCGGAGACAGAAGCUUGCGGCGGCGGAAAAGUAUUUUCGUGGAUCUCUCACGCAGAUUUUUCAGGAAUUUAUAGGCGGAAUAGGUGGGGCAGACGAGCCACAGGGGGACAACAAGCCUGCUAGGCGUGGCCCCCUGGACGGACCUAGGGGGCUUGUGGGGUCCUCUCKAUCSCCUGUGUGCCUUGGUUCUGAAGUCCCAUGCGUAUCUUCUGUUCCUGAAAAAAUAUUUUCGGAAGUUUUAUUCCAUUUGGACACCGUUUAAAAUCCUCCUAUGAAAAGGGUCAAAUACACUGAAAAAACAGGAACUGGCACUUGGCACUGAGUUAAUAAGUUAGUCCCAAAAAAGAUAUAAAAGGCAUACAAAACAUCCAAAGUUUGACAAGAUAAUAGCAUGGAACCAUAAAGAAAUUAUAGAUACGUUGGAGACAUAUCAGGAACCUACACGUAGCCGCAACGCAAACCGCUUCUUCUCCGCGCGCGAUCUACUCUCUGAAACCCCCCUUGGUGAGAACCUCCCCUUCCUGUGCAUGUUCCCCUCGGCGUAGCCUUGUCGUAGCCGCCGCAGCGUCCACGUUGCCGGCCAGGACGAGCUGUGCUCGAGCUCGUAGCCUCCGGUGUGCCCUGCUCCUUAGGGUCUCGUAGCCCUGGGAAUGGAACCCCCGAGGGUUCCCACACCCCAGCCGAUAGAACCUCGCCGUCGUUGACGCCUCUCCGCUCGCCGGCGUCGUCUCCUCCUCCUCUGCAAUUCAUGUCUGGAGGUAGGACAAGGCCCAUGUCCAUAGCUUAGGUGCAGGCGACACCCUCGUUCUGUCAAGUACCGAGCCGUACCGAGUGGUGCGAGCGCAACACCCAACCAGGGGGAUCGUGGUAUCGAAUCCUCCUGGACCGCUUUUGUUAUUUUUCGUUUUAUGUUCCUCUAGUGUGGCAGUGGUGUUGGUAUAGGAGGCCUUCGGCCCCUUGUAGAACAACUGUCCUAGCGUAGAGCAGUGGUGUGGUGAGUGUGUGCGUGAGCAGAGGUGUAGGUUCGAAUCCCCCUGUACCUAUUUUUGUUGAGGUAUUUCUAGUGUGUGUGCUGUGUUGAGUGUUGUGUGCGAGUGUGUGGCUGACAGUGGGCCACAGGGGCCCACAUGUCAUCCAGUGAAGGAGUCGUGGCCACUUCAAGGUGGGCCCCCCUCCUUAUCAUACAUUUCCUGUUUAUUUUUUAUUAUUUGUGUAUUUAUUUGUGUUAAAUAGGAUUGUUCCCAUUUCUGGAAAUGUCCAGAUAUGGACUUGCCAAAUUGGACAGGCUCAAGAACAGCAUUGUUCCGAAUAUUGUUGUAGUUUGAUCUGUGUCUUACUUUUUUCUUUCUAGUUUGUUUGUUAGUUCGUUUUUUCNGAAUGCAACNGUGGGCAGUAUGAUAUAUGGUAUUUUGGGNNNNNNNNNNNNNNNNNNNNNNNNNNNNNNNNNNNNNNNNNNNNNNNNNNNNNNNNNNNNNNNNNNNNNNNNNNNNNNNNNNNNNNNNNNNNNNNNNNNNACGGACACAUCCAGCCAACCAUAUCCGCGGCCGAUCACACAGUCGCGGCGCAUGGCACCGAGUACCUCGUCCGGACGAGCCGUCUCUAGCCCCGUCGCAACCACCUGCUCCCGCGACACCCUGCUUCUUUGCUCGGUGGGAUGCAAGGCUCACGCCUCGCUCGCGUCAAGGGAGCUGGAAGCCAUGGUGCUCGCUCGUGCCUGCCCCACCUGUCGUGCCGGCCGUUCCAUUGGACCAGACCGCCUCGUUGACAAGCCUCCCUGGCGAAGCUACCGCCGCCGGAGCACCUCGCCUUAACCCCGACGCCGAUGAGUCGCUGGAGCGAACAGGUCGCUCCUCUGCGCUAGGAUCCUUCCUAUGCCCCACCUUCCCUAUCCUCUCUCCUCU